GACUUUGAUCACUGAAUUGAGGUGUUGCCAAUUGAACUUCAUUGGUACUGGUAGAAUAUGGCAGAUGAGAAGAAACAAAACCUGGAAAACAAAUCUGUGUUGUCUCAACCUCUACCCGAGAGGAAGAAAAACAACUUACCAAACUUCUUUUUAUCUGUUCAGCUCAAAUAUGUGAAACUUGGUUACCACUACUUGGUUUCCAAUGCCACGUACCUCAUGCUCAUGCCAGUACUUUGCGUGAUUUUUGCUCAUCUUUCAACAUUCACAGUUGAUGAGCUUUGGAAUCAACUCAAAUUCAAUUUAGUGACAGUAGUUCUUUCACUACUAAAAAAAAAAAGGGUAUUAGCAUCUGAAUUUAGCAACGGAUAAUUCCGUUGCUAAAUUCAGUAACGGAUUUGCAACGAAUUACAUAUAUAUUAUUUUUUUAAUAUCAGCAACGGACUUUAGCAACGGAUAAUCCGUUGCAAAAUUUACGUUGAAUUUAGCAACGGAUUUUCCGUUGCUAAUUAAAAAAAUAAUUAUUUAAAUUUUAAUAUAAAACCAAAAUUACGAACACCGUUGAUUACAUUUACAAGGAUUAAAUCUCAACCGUUUAUUUUUCGCUGGCUUUGGUAAAUCUACACUAUGCUCCCACAUACCCUGCCAACGUGAUAAAUAAAAGAGAGGGACACCAUGCCCUGCAAACAGCCGGCCACCUUACCUUGCACAGGUAAGGCAGCCCGUUUCCCCCCUGCACCACGAUGGGACAGAGCAGGGGGGGCUCCUUCUUUUCCUGCUUAUAAAUAGAGGAAGAGAGACGAAGAGAAAGGGGUGGCAAAAUUUUGGAGAAGGAACAGAGGACGAAUGUGAGAGAGGAGGAGGCAGAAGAGAAAACAGAGGGGAGAGUUUAUUUGAGAGGAGAGGAGCUCGGGCAAAACAGAAGAAAAAGGAAGAAAAGGGGGAAAGGAGAGUGAAAGAGCAAGACCGAAGAAGAAGGAGAAGAGCCACCGUUGCACCUCCACCAGCGCCUCCAUCGCUCCUCCCAGCCACCAACGAUAGCACCAUCAUCGUCCAAAAAUAGAGGAAGAGCAGUGACAGAGAGUGAAGCGAGACGAGAGAAGGGAGAAAGGAAUAGAAAACAGAGACUGCGGUCUCUGCACAGAGAAGAAGAAGAACCGUCCUCACCCUCUGGGCACCACCGCUGUGCUUCCUCUCCAUCGCCACAACAGCACCGUCAUCCUGCCACUAUCAACGCUGCCAACGCCAGCAGAACCAGAGAGGGAGAAGAGAAACAGGGCAGAACAGAGAGGGAAGAAAAAACAGAGACCGCGGGCUCUGCACAAAGGAGGAGAAGAAAAGACAACCGCGCCACCACCUGGAAUCAUCGUCAUUUCUCCUCCCAGACGCUGCCCCGACCACCUUCCACUACCGCCAGACCAUAAACGGGGAAGAAUAGAACAAACGAGGGGGAGGGGCAGAGAAAGCAGAAGGCAGCAAGAAGAAGAAAAAAAAACUGUAACAGCAGCCGCCGCCUACACCACCACCCCUGCCGCAUCCGCUGCCGCCAGUGUCGCCACCGCUCCAGGUAACUUUCUCCCCUCCCCUGUCGUUUUUCGCUUCAGCUUCAUUUGCAUGCAAAACGUUUACGUUCUGCAGCAAAUGAAGAUUAAUUAGCCAGUUACUGUGCUGUGCACAGUAACUAGCUAAUUAUAUUUUGCUGGUUACUGUGCGCAGCACAAUAACCAGCCCCUUUUAUUUGUUACGGGCUGGCACAUCAGCCCAGCCCACGCGGCUGGGCUGAGUCCAGCCCACAGUAUAUGGGUCGGGUCAGGCCCAGCCCAGGAUGGUUGGGCCAGAUCCGGCCCAGUUUUUUUAUUUUAUUUUUUUGGUUAAAAGAAAAAUUCAAAAAUAUUUGUUUGUAAUUUUACAAGUUUCCCGCGUAUUUUUUAUGUCAUUUUGAUUAAUAUCAAGCAAUAUUUUUUUAUAUUGCUAAAAAUACAAAAUCCGAUAUUAAAAUACCUGGUUUUCGUCAAAACUUUCAAAAAAAAAAAACUUGUUUUGAAAAAAAGAAAAAUAUUUUUGUGCAUACGACCAAGUCUCACAAAGAAUAAAAUUACAUCAUAUUUUCAUACAACAAAGAAAACUUCAAAAAAAAAUGUGUUUUAGCAUGCAUUUUGGCUUUAAUAACCAGUUUAUUAAAGUCACGAGAACUUUGCCAAUAUUUCAAAAAUUCCAAAAAAAAUUAUUUUGUUUUCUUAAUAUCAGGGAUUAUGAAUUUAUACGUAAAACGUACUCCCGAUAUUAAAAAGGUAGUUUUCUUUUAUAGUCAUUAGAACGGUUAGGCUUUGCCCCAUAAGAUAAGAACCUCCUUACUGAGGAGGGCUUUUCUUGAAUCAUAGACGGACCAACAAUUAAAAAACAUGACAAGACCUUAGAUUUUUAUCAGACAAUAAAACAAUGCAGCUUAUCUUAGGUAGGACGUAUUUGGGGUGUUAAUACCUUCGCUUUACGCAACCAGUCUUCGUACCCGAUCUCUGAGAUCAGUUAGGGUUCUUAGUGACCAGAAUACUAGGUGGCGACUCCCAUUCCAUUUUUCCAAUGAUAAGAGACAAGAAUUCCUUGUCUCCCCAUAUUUUCUAGACACACACCCAUUGAGUGUGAAGGACGAUCGCCGCGACGCCGCACACGUGCGACAGGCUCCACAUGUAAACAAUCACCAUAAAAUUAUAAUUAUUAUACUCGAUUCAAAAACUAAACUAAAAAGGAUAUGAGGUAUUUAGUUACUAGACUAACUUGUGGAUCAUCAUAUCAAUUCAGUGGAUCAAUGACAUGCAAUAUUAAAAAUAAUUCAUUGUGUUGAAUAUAAUCAUGCUUUAAUUUCAACAAAUUUUUAAUUUAAUUUCAAUAUAUUUUUAAUUAAUUUUAAAAUUAAAUAAUAAUUUAAAAACUUAAGAGUUUGAACUAACAUAUAUAAAUCACGAUGAAAUUUCAACCUCUCUAUAACUCCUACAUAAUGUCGCACGUGUGCGGCGUCGCGGUGAAAACAUCCACCCUCAAAAUCUUAACUAAUGUAGAAAAUAUGGCGAGACAAGGAAUUCUUGUCUUUUAUUAGUGGAAAAAUGGAAUGGGAGUCGCCACCUAAUAUUUUGGUCACUAGGAACCCUAACUGGUCUCAGAGAUCUGGUACGGGGACUGGUUGCGUAAAGGAAAGGUGUUAGCACCCCAAAUACGCCCUACCUAAGGUAAGCUGCAUUGUUUUAUUGUCUGAUAAAAUUUAAAGUUUUGUUGUGUUUUUUUGUUGUUAGUCCGUCUAUGGUUUAAGAAAAAGUUCUCUUCGGUAAAGAAAUCUUUAUCUUAUUGGGUAAAACCUAACCGUUCUAAUGUCAACAAAUAAUUUAAUAUCCGGAAUACAUCUUACAUAUAAGGUCGUAAUCCUAGAUAUUAAAAGAAAACAAAAUAUUUUUUUGGAAUUUUUGAAAUAUUAGCCAGUUCUCGUGACUUUAAUAAACUAGUUAUUAAAGCCAAAAUACGUGAUAAAACUUUUUUUAUAUAUAUAUGAAGAGACAAUAUGAUUUUUUUUAUUAUUAUAUAUUUUUUAGAGAGACUUGGCCGUAUGCAUGAAAACAAAACAUUUUUUUUUUACAAAAACCAGGUAUUUAAUACCGGAUUUGUAUCUUUACAGUAUAAAAAUACAAACCAAUAUUGAUCAAAAUGCAGUAAAAUAUUUGCAGAAAAUCACAGAUUUUUGAAAAGAAUUUUUUGAUUUUUUUUUAUUUUUCGGGCUGGGCCCAACCCGGCCCAUGUGGUUGGGCUGGACCCAGCCCACCUGUGUGGCUGGGCUGGACUCAGCCAGCCCAGCCUGGUCACUGGCCCAAAGCCAGUGACCCAAUUAUGCCAUGCAAGCAUAAAAAUUUACACGUGCAUGAAAUUACCUUCGCACUGUUCAUCUCCUUCUUGCCAAUUAACCCAAAACGCAGGCAACACUUUUUAUCACAGAGACUGUGGAAGGAAGUAAAACAUGCCGGGUGCUGGAGAGAUGAAGAAGAUGGUGGUGCUGAUCUCUUCUGCUAUCUGCGUUGCUAUGCGUUCCUCUGUUUUUUGUUCAACUCACGUCUCUCCCUCUUUCCCUCUUUCUUUCUUUUCCCGUCUGCUCUCCUCUAUCCUCCUCCUUCUGCUCUCUUCUCUUGCUGCCUUUUUUACUUUCUUAUGCUCUUCCUUCCUCUGUUUCUCUCUUCCUUACAUUCCCCUCUCCCUCUGUUUUUUUUUCUAUUCUCUGUCGCGUCCUCUCCCUCUGCCUCUCUCUUCUUUACACUCUCUUCUCUCUGUUUUUUUUUUCUGUCUCGUUGACUUCUUCCUUUUCUCCCUUUCUGUCCCGUUCUUUCCUCCUGUUUUCUCUUCUUCUCCUCUCUCCCCUCUCUCCCCUUUUCAGUGCAGUACAUCCUCUGCUUUUAUAGCCAGAGGAUGAAAGCGUUUUCCCUUUGAUGUUGCAGGGAUGGAGUAACGGUCGGCGUGCAUCAUGGUAGCCGUGAAGCAUGCCCCCUUGAUUGAAGCAAAUCGCGCCUUCGCCGCUGCAAACGUUUCUCGGCCAGCUCCCGUAACAUAAAGAAGACAGUAAACAGUGUUGAAUAAAACGGCACCGUUUUGCAACUUUAAAUGAUAUUUCCUAUUUGGUCCUUGGAUGUUAAUGCAAUUUUGUAAUCAAGCCCCCGGAUGAAUUGUAAUUGGAUCCCUUGAUCUUAGCGCUUUUCUGGUUUGGUCCUUGGUUUCGGAUUGUUUCAAUUAAGUCCCUAAUUGGCCAUCAAAAUUCAAUAAUUAUGCAAUUAAGCCCCUAAUUUGACCAAAUCAACUCUUUAAAAUUAUAAUUGGACCCUAGAACUUUAAUUUCUUCCAAUAAAAGUCUAAAUUGACUUAAAAAAUCAAUUUUCUUGCAAUCAAACUCUCCAUAAAUUCAAUUAAACCUUGGAUAAAAUUUAAUUGAGUCCAUAAACAUCUUAUUUUGGACUUUGCUUUCUCAAAUUGAAUUUUCCUUGUCCCCAGGGCUCUCAUCAGUCAAAAAUAUAUUGUCAAAAUUUCAAUUCUUGAAUUUUCCUUGUCCUCAAUCAAUUUAUGUCAUUUUUUCAGCAUUUCAGCAUCAUUUUCUCACUCCUAUUAUUUUUUGAUUUCCUUCGAAUAUUUUUGUGAUAUGUAUAUUUUUUGUAUUUUUUUCAUUUUUUGUGGGGAACCCAAAAAUGGGUAACAACACAUAAUAUCUUAAAAUCAAUUAUAUUGUAAUUUUCACAUUUUUAAUUAUUCCUAAAUGAUAAAAAAAUUAACUGGCUAAAAAAAUGCUAACUAGUCUAUUGACCCGCGUUCUGUCUUUGUCAGAUUAAUUUUUUUAAAAUGUAAAAAAGAAUGUUGAGAGCACGAAGAGUUUUUUUUAUAUAGUGUUAUUAACUCUGAUCAGAUAGGUCAAUCUUAAAACCUUUCGUCUCAGCUCUUUGCCAAACUCAAGUUUUCAAUUAAAUCGUGUGGCAGCUAGUCUGAUUUAAACAGUCAAUUUUAUGGAUCCAAAUGUAACUGGAUGGCUAAUGAAAACAUGAAUUAGCUUUUAAAAAAAUUCAAGAUAAUUUUUUUAAAAAACAAUAUCGAGACAAUGACAUAUUGGAUCAAUCCCGGUCCCCCAAUAACCCGAAUCAUGAACUUUAUUGGAUUUAAUAAUCUUUUUUUAUAAACUCUUUUUAAUUAUAUAAUAAAAAUAGAUGCUCGUAAAGUUAAACAGCAACCCUAAAAUAUAUAUUUAUUUGAUAUUAGGAUAACCCUAUAGAAAACAAACAAAAAUAAACCUUAUAGUCUAUUCCUAACCAAUCAAAUAUUGAAGGACAAAAUAAAAAAAUAAAGGAUCAAAAAUAAAAAAAGCAUAUCCAGUCUGUUAGUAAACCUGUCAAACCGGUGAAUCGGGUAACUUGAGCUAGCAUGCCAAACCAGUGAACGGGGUUAUGGACUCCACUGAGAUUAUAAUUUGCUUUUUUUUAAAAAAAUAUUUUUUAUUUAACUAUAUGAUAAUAAAAAUAGACGAUCGCAAAAUCGAAUAUUAACUCGAUACCGAGAUUUUUUUGAGACCGCAAUAACUUUAUAGAAAGCAAAUCGAAACCAAUUAUGGAAUUGAAUUCCCAAUUAACCCAAUAUCUAUAGAUGAAAUUGAAAAAAAGAGUUAAACUUUCCAAACCUGCGAACCAUGUCAACUAACCGAACCUAUGAACAGAUCCAUGAACUUUAUAAAGUUUAAUAACAUGUUUUUUUUUCGAAACUAUUUUUUUAACUAUACGAGAAAAAAAUAAACGAUAACAAACUCAAGUUGAAUUAAAAAGAAAAACACUUCGCCAAACCCAUAAACCAGGAUAACUUGGGUUACCCAAGUAAACCCGCAAACUACUUUAACCAUAUAAAAAAACAAAUUAAAAAUAAAUAAAUUAAAAGAUUCAAUUCUAAAUUAUCUCAAUAUUAAAAGAUAGAAUAGAUAAAAACAAUUUUUUUAAAAAAAAAACGAGUAAGCAAAGCGAGAGCAGAGAGAGCAUAUCAUGAAAUUUUUGCUAUAAAAAAAAUAAUAGCAAGGCUAAAAGUUUUGUAUGCUUAAAGGAAAAGUGGACGACGGACGACGUGGUUUUGUCCCACAGGUUGAAAAAAGGCUUGUGAUGAAAUCGUUUCAGCCUAGCUUAAGUUUAAUUUCCCAUUCUUCUGCUUGUCGUGCAUCUUUUAUUCCCCGAUCUAAACUCAACAGAACACUCAUUACCCAAAAAAAAAACAUACCCCUCCCCUGUCCCUUUCACUCAUAGUUUUAAGAUUUGGUCCGGGUUCCGGGUUCCAAGUUUUGACCGGGUCACCGGGUUUUGGUCGAGUCAGUUCUUGUUUUUUUAAAUCAAAACGACGUCAUUUUAGUAAAAAAAAAAAAAAACAAAAGUCAACAGGUUUGCAACCGGGUCUUGACCGGGUCUUGCUGGGUCAACCGGGUCGCCAGGUCAGCUGGGUCACACCGAGUUUUUCCUUCCCCUGUUUUUUCUUCAACCCGGCCCGGUUCCAGCCUCGGGUCGGCCGGGUCCCGGGUCGGCCCACCAGGCCGGGCCGGGUUUCAAAACUAUGCUUUCACUCGUAGGGUUAGUUCGAGUUUCUUCCCAUUCUUCUGCUUCUCGUGCAUCUUUCGUUUUGAUAUUUGACUCGCAUUUCACAACAGUUUAGAUAUUUUCUUCUCAAUAAAAAAAUGUAUAUAUAGACUUUUUCAACAUGUUUUUUAUUUAAAAAAUAAUUCUAAGUGAAAAUCAAAAUAUUUAUACAUACAUGCAAUCAAAUAAAUUGAGAAUUAUGUGUGUUAAUAAAUGAAAAAAAACCAUAAAUGAUGACUAAAAUUAAAAACUAGAAAAAUCAAGAGACAUGUGUAUAUCAAGAUAUUUAAUUUCACAAGAUUAUGACAUUUAGGCGGUUGUGUUUGCUAAAUUUGUUAAUUAAAAUAAAUUUUUUAUCCAAUCAAACGAUAAUAAAAAUAGACACACUUAUUAAAUUGUUUGAAUAAAAUAAAAGGAAAAAAAUAAUUUGCAAAGCUGUACAUAUUAGAAAUAUUAUUUGAAAAUAAUUUUUUUUAUUUUCAGAAAUAAAGUUCAUAUAUACAAUAGAUUGAAAAAAAAUAUAGAUUAAUCAGAAAAACAUCAUCAAAAAUUAAAUGCAUAAUUAAAAAAUAAUUGUCAUUUCAAAUAGGCUUUUUAAAUAACAUAAAAGAGAGAAGAGAUAUUGAUCUAAAUAUAAAUAUAAAUAAAAUUAAGAUUAAGAUUAAUUUUAAAAAAUAGAAACAAAAAGAGAAAGUAUUUUUUCUUCAACAAAAAAAAAGUAAAUAGUGUCAUCAAUAGUAAAACUUGUGGGGUGAACCUGGACUAUGAACUCAACCGGUUUUUUCCCCUUAAAUUUAUGGCAAACCUAAAAAAAAGUGAACAAUGUUGUCCAUGGUAAAACAUAAAGGGGUCAACAGUGCGGUUGCAUAGUAUUCACCUCACAUAUUUUCCCCUUAAAUUUAUAGAAAAACCUUAAAAAAAAAAACAAUGACCAGUGUCGUCCACAGUAAAACAUGAGGGGGUGAACAGUGCGUCUGCACAAUAUUAAAAAAAAAAUCUAUAUAAAAUUAAGAGAAAACCACAGAUAAAUCAUACCCACUUCUUUAAAAACUAAACACACCCGAUAUCAUUUAAAAAUAAUCACAAUUUAAUUAAAACAUAAAUCAAAAUUUAUUUGGAAAAGUAUACACAAAUAAUAUAUUAUUUUUUUUAAAAAACAGAUAUAUAUAUAUAUAUAUAUAUAUAUAUACACACACACGCUCGCCAGGCCCCACGCCUGAUCUAAUGAACCAACGGCCUGCGCUCGGGCCUGCAAUGCCAGGCCCCAGCGCAUGCCCUUUUUUAAAGUUUAAUGGGGCGGAAACAACGCGUCGUCCGCCCUAAAUAUAUAUAAAAAAAUAAUACGUUGCUCGCUCCAUUCCAGAAUCCAACCACUGUGUUGACUGGAAAAACAAGGUCCGUAGUUUUUUCACCAAAAAAUCCCAUUUCAAUCCAUUUUUUUUUACCAAAAACACCUAGAAAACACCAUAAAGACCUUGUUAAACCAAUCCAUUGCCACAUAAAAGCCAAAAAACCGUCCCAAAACCCGAAAAUCCACUUGAAACAAAAAUUCUUCCCAAGCUGAGAUAUGUUGUUUCACGUGAUUUGAACGUAAAAAGAAAUACCUAAACAUAACCCCCCCUCAUCAUAUGGAACCUUUUGACACAAAAAUCAACCAUUUUAAUGGUCGGAAUCUUCCCCAAUGACCACUUUCUCUUUCUAGACUAGAAUAUUAUGAGGACUCCCUGAACAAAAAAAGGAAAAAGGAGGAAAAUGAAGUUAGGUACCAAAAUGUAUUGUCUUGAAAUUCAAGGUCCCAGUCACUUUAUACCAAACAAAUGUUGGGGAUUAAAAUGAAUGUUUGAACAAAACUUUCAACCCGCUUCCAAUGCUACCCGAGAUUUUCACUUCAUUCCCUUAGCUUUCAAUUCAAUCCUCCUUCCUAAAAAAAUGCAAUUGAGGGCUAAUUUAGUCUCGAAAGAUCCAAAUCACGCAAAAUAAAAGUUCAAAGAUCAAAGUGAAAAUUUUUAAAACUUACACUGUUCUAAUCCACAGUAAAUUAUGAAAUAGUGCACAGUGUUUUAGCAAAUGUAAAAAGCUAAUGCCUUUUAACUUUGUACUAGUUAGGUGGCCCGCACUACGCCGCGAGCCAACUUUUUUUUGGCAUAAAAAUAUAUAUAAAAAAACUAAGACCCAAGAGCCUUGGGUCUGGCUGCAACAUUAGACCCAAGAGAGUUGGAUUUGGGUUUGGAUGCACCGCCACAUCCAAGAGUCUUGGGUGUGGCUCUAGCUAUAAUGUCAGACCCAAAAAUCUUGAGUCUGGGUCUCUCUGCAACGCCAAGCGCAAGACCGUUGGGUCUGGUUGCAACGCCGGAUUCAUGAGUAAUUUUUAUAAUAUUAAUUAUAAUAGUAAUAGUAAUACUUAUAAUACAAAUAAUAAAAUUUUUAAUAUUAUUAAUAAUAUUAAACUUGCUUGACCCAAGUUCUUGUAGUUUUUAAUCCCUUCAAAUCAAAUUUAUGGUUUUUCUUCAAUAUUAAUAAUAUUUUAUUUCAAAUUUAUUAAUGAUGAUGAUGAUAAUUAUUAUUAUUUUUAAUUUUACACUUCAAAUCAAAUCUAUAAUUGUUUUUCAAUAUUAAUAAUAUUUGUUUUUAAAUUCAUUAGUUAUCAUAUUAAUAACAUUAAUUAUAAUAAAAAUAAUAAUAUUUUUAAUACAAAUAGUAAUAAGUAGGAGCUUUCCAAAGAAAUAGCUUAGUAGCCACAUUAGCAGCGCUUGGGAUGAUUUUAGGCGCGGCCUAUUCCCUUUGGCUAUAUAAUCGUGUGGUUUCUGGAAAUUUAAAACCCGAUUUCCUCCAUAAAUUCUCCGAUUCAAAUGGCAGAGAAGUUUCCAUAUUUAUACCUUUUCUUGUUGGAGGGGCGACCGUCCGUUGAACUACCAAAGAAAAAAGGGUAAACCAAUGUGAUCAUGACCCUUCUUUUUAUUGGCAUAAUCUAAACGACAAAGUAGGAUCAGAAGGCUUACGCACCCUGGAAAUGAAAUGAGUUCGCUUCGCACCUUCCUCAGCUUUCAGGAAAGAUCCGAUGCAGCUAUCGAGAGAUAUAAGCUUGCCAGCCCGGAGUGGAGGGAAAGAGUAGCUCCUUGCCAACAGCUGAAAAUUCUACAUUUUAAUAUUAAUAAUAAUAUUAAACUUGUCCGACCCAAAUUUAUGUGGGUCUGGCUGCAAUGCCAGAUCCAAGAGCUUUGGGCCCCUCUUAAACGUCUGACCCAAAAGCUUUGGGUCCUUCUUAAACUGCAGACCUAAGAGCCUUGGAUCUAGCUAUAACGCUGGACCCAAGAGCCUUGGAUCUAAACGCCAGACCCAAGAGAUGCAGCCCGGACACUGGACCCAAGAGCCUUUAGUCGGUCUGCAAGACUAUACCUAAGAUCCUUGGGGCAGGUUGCAACGCCGGACCCAAGAGCUGCGGGUCCGGACACUGGACCCAAGAGCCUUUGGUCGGUCUGCAAGACUAUACCUAAGAGCCUUGGGCUGGUUACAACACCGGACCCAGGAGCCUUGGGCUCGUCGGGGUUGCCAAACCCAAACAACUUGGGUUUGACAUCUUUUUUCAGCCAUAAGUUACUUGGGUGUGGAAGGGGAUGCCAAACCCAAAAUAAUAAUAAUAAUAAUAAUAAUAAUAAUAAUAAUAAUAAUAAUAAUAAUAAUAAUAAUAAUAAUAGAUUUUACCCUUCAAAUCAAAUCUAUAUUUUUUUUAUUAUAAUAAUAUUUUUUUUAAAAUUUAAUAAUAUAAAUGAAUAUGAUAAUAUUUAUAAUAUUAAUAAUAAUAUUAAACUUGUCUUGCCCAAGUUUAUAAUAAUAAUAAUAAUAAUAAUAAUAAUAAUAGAUUUUACCGUUCAAAUAAAAUUUAUGGUUUUUCUUCGAUAAUAAUAAUAUUUUUUUUAAAAUACUGAUUUUUAACCAGACAUCGAGACUCGCCUCGCGGUUUUCCAAGGCCUUCGUGCCAAGCAAGACCGCUCUUGCCCCUUUCCUUUCUCCAUUCCGCCUCUUUCUUUGCUUUGUUUAUUAAUGAUAAUAAUAAUAAUAAUAUUAAACUCGUCUGACCUACGUUCUUAAUAAAUUGAAUAAUAUAAUAUAAUUAUAGGCAAUAUUUGCACGAAACAACUGAAAUAGUCCCCUUACGGGUACCAGGAUGAUGCAACCAUAUUAUUUGAUAGUUUCACCAACAUUUAACUAGUGUUUUGCCUAUGUUUUAUAUAUAAAAUGCCUUGAUAUUCUUUGUUUUAUGUUUUGAAGGCACUUUUGGAUGAAAGAUGCAAAAAAGAGUAAAUUGGAGAUAAUUGGCAGAUUUGACUUUCAGUCGAUGUUUUGUGCUGAGUGUGAGCUCUAGAGGUUGAAAUGAAGUGAUUCUAGUGGCAUUAAAAAUCUAACAUCCAUACCUUUCUUGACAUCUAAGGCAAGAAAAUAAAAUAAGGAAGAGCAUGGAAAUCGCAGCCUUCAAAGUUAAAUCUUGCAAUCUGCCAGUGUUGACCUUCAGCCAUUCAAACUUGAAUAUCUGGAGCUACAAAAGCCCAAUUGAUGCAAACUCAAUUUUUUUGGAUUCAUGACUCAAAGGUCUAUAAACGCUCCAAAUGUAAGCCAAAAACGAUGUCAUAUGAGGGAGAUAUGAUUUUUCAAAGAUGACAUCUGAAUUCUGCCAGCAAACAGGUUUCGUGAAGAAACGAGUCCAAAUUACAUUCCGAAGCAUCUAAACCGAUAUCCAAGUUUUUAUUUCAGCAAUUUAGCUCCUCUAAGUCAAAGCUUGAAGAUUUCAUGCAAGGCUAUUUCUCUUUUUUUAGGAAAAUAGUUAUUGAAGUACUUAAAUGUAAACAGUCUACUUAAUGGAGGACUAUUUUGUAAAAUAGAGACCUAGGGUUUCCUAGGAUAUAAAAAGAAUGAGAGAAGAGAAGGGGGGCAGCCAGCCAAGAGGAGAAAAACGUCCCCCUCCUCUAAGAAACAUGAAAUUAUGCAUUCUUCCUUCUUUUUGAUUAGUUGUUCAACAAACAUGCAAGGCUAAACACUUUUUCUUUGUUGCAAGGACACAGAAACCUUCAGAUUUCAAGAACUGUGAGAUUUAUUUUACCUUUUCUUUUCAGUUUAUAUGAUGAAUAUGUUUGUUCUCCUAUGCUUAUUUUUCUAUGAUUGUUUAUUUUAAUUGCUAGAGCGGACUCUAAGUUAUUAUUGUAGACAAUCUAUUGCUAAGUUUGAUAUUAAAACCGGAGUUGUGGUAUAUGAACUUGUGAAGCAACUGAGUUUAAUAAUUGUGGCGGAUCUACGUUAUUAAUCUUAGGGAGAACAUUCAAUCAAAUCAAACAUAGACUGCGAACAGUUAUGUUUUCUUGAUUAAUCAACUUAUCUAGUUCUUAAGGCUGCCAUUAAAUUAAAUUACUAGUGCGGACACUGUGGUUGUUUGAUGGUUAGGGUUAGUUAUACGGCGGAUCCGUUAACUAACCAAUGUUAAGAAGAGAUAAAUAUUCAGAAUAUAAAUUGAUGUUUCGUUUCCAUGAUCAGUUCUGAUUUCUGUAGGUGGAUGUGUGCUUGUGACCAAGGUUUGUUCUCUUGAUAAUUUUCUGAUUUUAUUAAAUUUCGUUUGAUAGUUUUCUGUUUUCUUUUGCUUUAGCCUAGAUAACAUCCAAACCCCCCCCCCAAAUUGCAUAUCAUCUAGCAUAAAAAUCUGACUUGAAUAUUCCCCGUGGGAUCGACCCCUUGCUUGCGCUAUACUAUUUUGUGUGUUGUGUUUGAAGCUAGGGUAAUUAAUUUGUGCGACCGCGACAUCGCAACAAAUUUUGGCGCCGUUGCCGGGGAAGUAAUUUUAGUUGAUUCUUGUGCUAUUAUUUUUAUUUGCUGUGAUUGUUAUUUCUUUUUCUGAAAAAAAAACAGAAUUUUUGCUUGCUGCGGUAUUGUUCAUUACGGCAGCGGUACUGUUCAAAACAGAUAUUUUGGUGGAAUUAGGUAUCGGCCUUUUUUUUCCUGAAAGAAAACGGCGUUCUAAACAGGACUAGUGGUAAACCACUAGCCCCACCCUAUCGAGGCCAAAUUCCGCUGUUUUCUAGGGUUCUUAGGCAGUUUUUAUUUUCUACCGUAGGAUUUCGUACAAUUUGUAUUGUUUUCGAUCUCUUGUGUGGUUAGUUUCUUUUGAGUUUUCUUGAUGAUUUAUGCCAGUAACCCGUUCUACUAAUCAAAGUCAAGUGCAGUUGGAUCUCAAAAUAGAAAAAACUUUAUGCAGGUUACGAAAGGAAGCUCGCCUCAACACCAUGGCUAUUGCACGACAACAAACACUCAAGGAGCUUGCUGCUCCUAACGUGGAAAAUCAGCCACUGUGCAUAAACAUCGACAAUAAUGUAAACUUUGAGCUCAAAUCUGGUUUUAUACAUUUGCUACCAACAUUCAAUGGUCUUGCAGGUGAAGAUCCUCAUACUCAUCUCAAGGAGUUCCAUAUGGUUUGUGUUGGCAUGAAACCGAAUGGAGUUGACGAAGAACAAGUUAAGUUGAAAGCUUUCCCUUUCUCUUUAAAAGGGGCAGCAAAGGCAUGGUUUUUCUCUAUUCUCCUAGGUUCCAUUGGAACUUGGAAUGUCAUGAAGAAGAUUUUCCUUGAAAAGUAUUUCCCAGCAUCCCGAGUUGCCAACAUAAGGAAAGAAAUAUGUGGGAUUCGACAAUCUCAUGGAGAGACAUUUUCCGAGUAUUGGAAAAGAUUUGAGCAAUUGUGCAUUCAAUGCCCUCAUCAUCAAAUACCUGAUCAGCUGCUCAUUCAAUAUUUCUAUGAAGGAUUGAUGCCUACUGAUCGUAGCAUCAUUGAUGCUGCAAAUGGAGGGGCAUUGGUAGAUAAGACACCCGAGGCUGCACGCCAAUUAAUCUCAAACAUGGCAGCCAACUCGAAACAAUUUGGCACGUGUGGAGACUUCGUAAACAAACGAGUAAAUGAGGUAAAUAUUUCUAACCUUGAGAAUAAAGUUAAUGAUCUUACUUCUCUUGUGCGUUCUUUGGCUUGUGGAAAUGUACAGCAGAUGAAAGUUUGUAGCAUAUGUUCCUUACAAGGACAUACCUCAGAUAUGUGCCCAACAAUGCAAGAAGAUUACAUUGAACAAGUUCAUACAGUUGAUGGAGGAUUCAACGGAUAGUCCCAGCGUAAAUAUGAUCCCUUUUCCAACACGUACAAUCCCGGAUGGAGAGAUCAUUCAAACUUAUAUUAUGGGAACCCACCUAAAUAAGGCAAUCAAGGCCGACAGUUCCAUCCCUAUGGAUUUCAGUCCCAACAGAAUUAUCAAGCAAGACAACCCCCUCCAUUCACAAACUCCAAUGUUAUGGGGUCGUCAUCCAGUGAUGAUCUUCGUGAGAUGAUGAAAACUUUGGCUUCUAACACUGUGACCUUGCAACAAAAUGUCAUGUCUUUUCAACAGGAAACAAGGUCAAGUAUUCACAACUUGGAGAAGCAAAUAGGGCAAGUAGCUUCAAGUGUGGGGAAAUUGGAAGCACAAAUAAAUGGAAAAUUGUCCUCCCAGGCAUUGAAUCCAAUAGAGAAUGUUAGUGUGAUCAUGCUGCGAAGUGGGAAAGAACUUGAAGAGAAAAGGUCGAAACAAAUUGAGAUGGAAGAAGAAGAAGAGAUAGAAACCGAAUUGAGUACAAAGAAGGAACAUCCUCCUCCUUCACAAACUGAAACAUCGACCAACACUCCAAGGUAACUCCUCACUCAAUGAAUUCCAGUUUUAAAACAAUUCCACCUUUUCCUGUGAGUUCUUCUAGGUCAAAGAAAGAGGACAAAGAAAAAGAGAUUUUAGAGGUUUUCAAGAAAGUAGAACUCAACAUUCUUUUGCUUGAUGCUAUCAAGAAAAUUCCCAAGUAUGCCAAAUUCUUGAAGGAGUUGUGUACUACCAAGAGAGCUUUCAAACUAAAAGGUCAUGAAAUGGUAAGUAUGGGUGAAGUUGUAUCUGCUAUUGUUCAAAAGAAUAUGCCUUUGAACCAAAAAGACCCAUGUGCGUUUACUAUCCCAUGUGUUAUUGGUAAUGCUGGUUUCAAAAGGGCCUUGUGUGAUUUAGGUGCAUCCAUUAGUGUUAUGCCUAAACAUGUUUAUGAUUCUCUUAGUCUUGAGCCUUUGAAUAAAACUAGCAUUGUAAUACAACUUGCGGAUCGUAGUUUUGUUUACCCACUUGGUGUGAUAGAAGAUGUCCUAGUCAAGAUUGAUAGUUUGGUCAUUCCAUGCGACUUUUAUAUUCUUGAUAUGGAACAUGAUUCUUGUGAUUCAUCAAACAACACUCCUAUAUUGUUUGGGAGACCAUUCUUGAAAACUGCCAAUACAAAGAUUGAUUGUGGUAAGGAUACUUUGUCUAUGAAAGUAGGAGAUGAAAAGAUUGGAUUUAAUUUUCAUGAUGCAAUGAAAUAUCCUUAUAACAAUGUUUAUUCUAUCACAUGCUAUGACCAAGUUGAUAAGUGUGUGCAACAAGUUUUUGAUUUUGAUUGUGAGGAUGGAUUAAGCGUAGCUUUGAGCUAUGGCUAUAAUUUUACCAAGAUUGAAAAGAUGGAGAGGCAUGUAUGUGUUCCCCGAAACGUGCAUGACUCAGCAUUGGAUUUGCAAGCUUUGCAAAUUGUCCUCCAUGAUGCAGGAGUCAUUUACCUCAUCACGGACAGUGAAUGGGUGGCGCCUAUCCUUUUGGUGCCCAAAAAGAUUGGAAUUGCGUUGGAAGAAAUACAAAAUGAUGCUUAUGAGAAUGCAAGGAUUUACAAAGAAAAGAUCAAAAGUCUUCAUGACCGAAUGAUUACAAGAAAAGAGUUUAAUGUUGGAGACAAAGUCCUUUUUUAUCAUUCGCGUUUGAAACUUUUUCCUGGAAAAUUGCGCUCUCGUUGGAUUGGACCCUUUGUUGUUUCUAAUGUUUUUCCUUAUGGUGCAGUUGAAAUUACAAGUUUAGAAACCAACAAAAUACUCAAGGUCAAUGGGCAUCGUUUGAAACCUUUCUAUGAAGGUUGGACGACAGAACUCACCGCUUCUGUAGAGUUAGCUGAACCAAUCUAUGAAGAAUGAGCAUGCCACAUGUCGAGCCAAUGACAUAAAAUAAAAGCGCUUACAGGGAGGCAACCCAGCACAAAAAAAAAAACAAACAGAUUUGCUUUCUUUUUCCCUUAUCUUUUAUUUUUCGCAUUUUACUUUAUUUUUGUCAUUCUCCAAUAUUCCUUUUCUUUUAUUUCAACAUUGAGGACAAUGUUGUGUUUUAAGUGUGGGGGUACUGGGAGAAUGUUGGUUUUCUAAUUUUGGUUUUCUUUGUUAUUUUUCAAAAUAAAAAAAAAUUAUGUUUGAUCUUUUGAACUCCCAUUGGUUUUUGAGAAUAUGAGUAUUAUGUAUGAGAAUUAGUUGAGAUAGAUGAAGAUAUAAAUCAAAUGAAUGAGUGUGCAUACAAGUUUUAAUGUUUAAUUGGUUUAGGGAUUGACUUUGAGAAUAUGUCAUGUUGACUUUAUAGUGUUAUACCAAUGCAAGCUUUUGAGCCUUCAACAUUAUAUUCUUUGAUUGUGCCUCUUUUCAAUGAUAUGUAUCUCUAAAACUUGCUUUAUAUCUUGUUGAGAUUACAUUCACAUUACAUAUAUACAUGAAGAUGAUAAAGGCAUUAGAAAUUUUAACCACUUGAGCCAAAAAGCCAACCUAAAGCAAAUUAUCCUUAGUAAACCUCUUUUGAGCUUGUUUAUAUCUUUUCUUUGCUUUAUCCAUGUAUAAGCCUUAACUUUAUAUAUGUUUUCCUUUUCCCUUGGCCAAGGAUUAGUAGAGCAUAUACUAGUGAUAUUUCAUGGAAUUAUGGUUGGAAAUUAUGUGAAAAGAAAGAAGAAGAAGAAGUGAUGCUUGAUGAAAAGAUGGGCAAAGUUGCCAAAGGUAAAAAAACAAAAAAAGAAAAAAAGAAAAAAAGAAAAAAAAAAGUGUUCCUUUAUGUUCUUAAGAUUUUACGUUGAAAAAGCUUGAAAUCAAAAGAAGUUAAGCAUUGGUGAUUAAAGAUGGAAAAUUUAUAUGCUUUAAUGGAAUAUCUUGUUUGAAAUAUUAUUUUUCAGAAUGCUCUACUUUUUUUGGUUUGAACCUUUUCUUUUACUCUCUUUUACCUCAUCUUAACCUUAGCCCCAUUACAACAAGAAAAUAAGACCUUUUGAUUCAUGCAUUGUUUGUAAUAUGUUAGUAAUGGAGAUGAGAUUGAAGAGCAAGCUUAUGGUAGAACAUAUUCAUUGAUUGAAUUUGAGAGAUUUAAACACAUAAGCCUUAAACACGUGAGUGUUGGAGUGUAUAUCAAUGAGAGGACCUAUCACUUUGGCAUGGCAUAGAUUUCAUUUAAAUCCCGACAAUUAAUUGAAUUUUGAAGUUUGCAUGUAAAUAAAUUCAUGAAAAUUUAUACUCUUUAUCCUUCUUAAUUGUGUUCUUGUUUAUAAUGCAUAUAUUCUUGGAUAUUGAUCGGAGAUUAGAAGAUUAGUCAUAGUGAUUUGAUUUAAUUUAAUUUAACUUCAAUUUGAUUUUACCUAUCCUUUCUCGAGGACGAGCAAGAGCUAAGUGUGGGGGUAUUUGAUGCAACCAUAUUAUUUGAUAGUUCACCAACAUUUAACUAGUGUUUUGCCUGUGUUUUAUAUAUAAAAUGCCUUGAUAUUCUUUGUUUUAUGUUUUGAAGGCACUUUUGGAUGAAAGAUGCAAAAAUGAGUAAAUUGGAGAUACUUGGCAGAUUUGACCUUCAGUCGAUGUUUUGUGCAGAGUGUGAGCUCUAGAGGUUGAAAUGAAGUGAUUCUACUGGCAUUAAAAAGCUAACAUCCAUACCUUUCUGGAAAUCUAAGGCAAGAAAAUAAAAUAAGGAAGAGCAUGGAAAUCGCAGCCUUCAAAGUUAAAUCUCGCAAUCUGCCAGUGUUGACCUUCGGCCAUUCAAACUUGAAUAUCUGGAGCUACAAAUGUCCAAUUGAUGCAAAUUCAAUUUUUUUGGAUUCAUGACUCAAAGGUCUAUAAACGCUCCAAAUGUAAGCCAAAAAAGAUGUCAUAUGAGGGAGAUAUGAUUUUUCAAAGAUGACAUCUGAAUUCUGCCAGCAAACAGGUUUCGUGAAAAAAUGAGUCCAAAUUACGUUCCGAAGCAUCUAAACCGAUAUCCAAGUUUUUAUUUCAGCAAUUUAGCUCCUCUAAGUCAAAGCUUGAAGAUUUCAUGCAAGGCUAUUUCUUCUUUUUUAGGAAAAUAGUUAUUGAAGUACUUAAAUGUAAACAGUCUACUUAAUGGAGGACUAUUUUGUAAAAUAGAGACCUAGGGUUUCCUAGGAUAUAAAAAGAAUGAGAGAAGAGAAGGGGGGAAGCCACCCAAGAGGAGAAAAACGCCCCCCUCCUCUAAGAAACACGAAAUUAUGCAUUCUUCCUUCUUUUUGAUUAGUUGUUCAACAAACAUGCAAGGCUAAACACUUUUUCUUUGUUGCAAGGACACAGAAACCUUCAGAUUUCAAGAAUUGCGAGAUUUAUUUUACCUUUUCUUUUCAGUUUAUAUGAUGAAUAUGUUUGUUCUCCUAUGCUUAUUUUUCUAUGAUUGUUUAUUUUAAUUUCUAGAGCGGACUCUAAGUUAUUAUUGUAGAUAAUCUAUUGCUAAGUUUGAUAUCAAAACCGGAGUUGUGGUAUAUGAACUUGUGAAGCAACUGAGUUUAAUAAUUGUGGCGGAUCUACGUUAUUAAUCUUAGGGAGAACAUUCAAUCAAAUCAAACAUAGACUGCGGACAGUUAUGUUUUCUUGAUUAAUCAACUUAUCUAGUUCUUAAGGCUGCCAUUGAAUUAAAUUACUAGUGCGGACACUGUGGUUGUUUGAUGGUUAGGGUUAGUUAUACGGCGGAUCCGUUAACUAACCAAUGUUAAGAAGAGAUAAAUAUUCAGAAUAUAAAUUGAUGUUUCGUUUCCAUGAUCAGUUCUGAUUUCUGUAGGUGGAUGUGUGCUUGUGACCAAGGUUUGUUCUCUUGAUAAUUUUCUGAUUUUAUUAAAUUUCGUUUGAUAGUUUUCUGUUUUCUUUUGCUUUAGCCUAGAUAACAUUCAAACCCCCCCCCCAAAAUUGCAUAUCAUCUAGCAUAAAAAGAUGACUUGAAUCUUCCCCGUGGGAUCGACCCCUUGCUUGCUCUAUACUAUUUUGUGUGUUGUGUUUAAAGCUAGGGUAAUUAAUUUGUGCGACCGCGACAUCGCAACACAGGACUGGGCCAUGCGGGCAGCUAAGUAUGUUUGUUUUUUAUGUAUCGUUUGUGGUUAUGAUUUGAAAAGAUAUAAAUUUUAAAAAAUAUGGUAAGCUGAGGUUAGUUGGAUUGAGAUACGUGUUUGGUAAAAAAUAUAGUUGAAGUUUAUGUGCAACAAAAAACAUGUAUAAAAUGUUUGGUAGUUGUGUGGUUGCUUUUCAAAGUGCUUUUUACUUGGAAAUGCACUAAAAUAAUGUAUUUUUAUUUUUAAAAAAUUAUUUUUGAUAUCAGCACAUUAAAAUGAUGUAAAAACACUAAAAAAUAUUAAUUUGAAGUAAAGAAAAAAAAUAAAAUAAUUAUCAUUUUUUAAAAGCUCUUUUAAAACGUAAAAACAAAUAAUAUUUUAUGAAAUUCAAUUAAAAAAAUAUAUAAAAACUACUUCACAAAAAUUAUAUUUCGAACUUAAUUUUUUAAUGGAUCUCACAAUAUAAAACUUAAUUUUUACAGUUAACGAGCACCUUACUAUAUUUUUUGUGGACUGUAAAUAUAAAGGCAGGUGAAAAACAAACGCAGUGUAAUCGAUGGCUUCGGCAAAACUGUGGUCGACAGUGAAGAACUACCAAAAGUUUUGAAUCCGUUUGUCUACGCGGCUGCGGUUAAAAUAAAACGCAGCAAAUAUAUGUUUGGUUACAGAAAAAAAAUUGUUUGCUAUUCAUGGGUCCCACCUUUUACUGCGUUACAAACGCAGUAAUCACAAAGCAGCAGGAGACUGCUUUUGUUUCAACAGUAAACAAUGGGCAACACAUAUUUACGCACUGUGCAUGCUAAUUAAUUAGCAUGGACAGUGUAACUUGCAUACAUUGUACACUGUAUGCAUGUUACACUGUUCAUGCUAAUUAAUUCGCAUGAACAGUGUAACAUGCAUACAGUUCCGGUUGGACCGGUUCCGGCCAAACCAGUUCCGGUUCAAAGCUUAAAAUACAUUAAAUCAGGUUCAACCCAGUAAAAUAAAAAUUAUUUUUAAUUUUUUAAUUGUUUUUUAUUAAAAAAACUAGUGUUUAACAUUAUUUAAUGACACUACAUAAAUUAGACAGAUAUCGCUUGAUAAAGUAGCAUUUGCAGAAUUUGAUCGCAAUCCUAAUUUUGCUCUUGAUUAUAUUUUAUCUGAUGUUAUUCCGCGCUUAAACAACCAAAAAAACUGUAGUCCUUGUCGGAGGUAUUUCAUACGUGAUGGAAUUGUAGAUAUUUUAAUGGAAUAAUAAAAAAUAUUUUAUAUAAAGUAUUAUUUAUUUCAUGAUGUAAUAACAAAAGUUAAAUCUAUAAUAUUUAAAUUAAAAACUAUCAAUAUUAAUAUAUAUUUUUUAAAAUUAUUUUAUAACCUCAAUUCCAAAAGCAUUCUUAACCAAACACAUUAAACUACUUUUUUUUCAACGUCAAUUUUAACCACAGUUUUAACCAAACAUCUAUUUUUUCAAACCACAACCACAAUAGCUACUACAAUACAAAUCACACUAUUUGAAUGAAUCGACAGUCCUAGGCAUGUCCAAGAAACAAACUUACCAGGACGUAUUUAUUGGUCUGCAUUCUAUCAUCGCGCCCCAUUUAAUAGCCUCAACUAUAAAUCAUAACCAUUAACCCCUUGUACCGUCAUCAUCUUUUAACCACUUCCCUUUCAUCUCCUCUGUUUUUGGGCUCCAUUUCAGCAUAUUUUGUUUUUUUUUUUAUGUUUUUUAUAUUAAAUUAAAUUUUUUAAUUUUUAAUUUUUAAUUUUUUUUAAAUAUUAAUAUAAAAUAUAAUUUUUUUUUUAAUAUAUUUUGAAAUAAAAAAACAAUUUUUAAAACGAUAUCAAUUCAACAAUAGCUGCCGACUUUUGACAGUUUCCAUGUAUUUUCAGAGAACUACGUGCAGGGUUAGAUACGAAGAAUUUAACCUCAUCACAACAACAAAUAAAAUAUUUUUUGAAAAAAUAUUAAUAUGUGAGCAUCAUACGUACACACGUGUAUGUGUGUGUGAUGAGAAAUUAAGUUAAUCAUUUGAGAUGCGUCGAAGAUUUGAAGACUAGAAGUAAGGAUAGAGGGAAGAGGAAACAAGGAAUAUUCAGUGGAUCAAUGACAUGCUAUGUUAAAAAUAAUUCAGUUUCAGGUUCGAGCUCUGUGGUUGCUCAUAUAAUGGCUAUUAGAGGAUUAAUUUUUUUAAAACAUAAAAAAGACUAUUGAGAGCACGAAGAGUUUUUUUUUAUAAUGUUAUGAACUCUGAUCAAAUGGGUCAAUCUUAAAAUCUUUUGUCUCAGUUUUUUAUCUAAUUCAAGUUUCAAAUUAAAUCGUGUGAGAGCUAGUCUGAUUUAAACAAUCAAUUUUAUGGAUCCAAAUGUAACGUGGAUGACUAAUGAAAACAUAACUUAGCUUUUAAAAAGAAUUCAAGAUAAUUUUUUUUAAAUAUCGAGACAAUGACAGAUUGAAUCAAUCCCGAUCCCCAAUAACCCGGAUCAUGAACUCUAUUUGAUUUAAUAACCUUUUUUUUAUAAACUCUUUUUAAUUAUAUAAUAAAAAUAGAUACUCAUAAAAUUAAACACCAACCAUAAAAUAUAUAUUUAUUUGAGACUAUGAUAACCUAUAGAAAAUAAACAAAAAUAAACCUUAUAGUCUAUUUCCUAACCAAUCCAAUAUUGAAGGACGAAAUAAAAAAAUAAAGAAUAAAAAAAAUAUCCAGUCUGUUAGUAAACCUGUCAAACCUGUGAAUCAGGUAACUGGAGCUAGCAUGUCAAACCAGUGAACGGGGUUAUGGACUUCAUUGAUAUUAUAAUUUUUUUUUAAACAUUAACCCCUUGUACCGUCAUCAUCUUUUAACCACAUCCUUUUCAUCUCCUCUCUCUUCUGUUUUUUUGGCUCCAUUCUAGCAUCUUUUGUUAAUAUCAAAAAUAAAAUAUAAAAUAUAAAAAAUAUUUUAAUAUAUUUUUACAUGAAAAAAACAAUUUAGAAAACGACAUCACUGCAGACUUUGACAGUUCCAUGCAUGUACUUUUCGGAGAACUGUCAUCCCAAGGACACAGAUAGAGAUAAACAUGAUCAAUCAUGGAAGGUAAAUUUAGAUCAUUGAUUUUGAAAUUAAUGGCUUAGAUUUUAUUUAUUUGGAAAAAAAUAACUAUCAAUUUUAAAAGAAUUCUAAGAAACCAUUAACUUUUUUAAUGUGUUGUCCAAGAGAAAUUCAACCUUGAGAUCUCUUUGAAAAAUUAAAGACAUUAAUACCAUUUGAGCAUAUUAGUUCGGUAAAAUGAAAUCUAAACCUUUAAUUUUAAAGAUAAUAAAUUAUUUUUAUUUAGGAGUUGUUUGUGAAUGUGAUAGUAGUUGCUGUUUAAAGUGUUUUUUAUUUAAAAAUAUAUCAAAAUAAUAUAUAUUUUUUAUUUUUUAAAAAAUUAUUUUUGAGAUCAGCAUAUAAAAACAAUCUAAAAACAUAAAAAUUAAAUUUUAUCCUCCCUCCGUUUAAACCGCACUCCUAGAAGGGGGCUUAAUAUGAGAGGUCAUGUUACUCCAAACAUAAAGAGAGCUCAAUCAUUAAAAGCAAAUAAUAUCUUCACUCAUGAACACUCAACAAAAAAAAGGUAAUAAAAAAUUAUUAUUUUUAUAGAUAUAAAUUUAAUAGGUUUAAAAAACCCAAAAAACUCGAAAAACAUCACCUUCAAGCUCGGGUCAGCAGCUACCAAGAUGCAUGCUACCUGGAUCCAAUUAAAUUUUUGGCUUGGACAUGUGCCCCAACAACCCAUGGGCUCGGGCACGCUCCCCAAGGCCAACUUGUCCUUACCUAACUCUCCCUUUAGAAUUUUCUCAGGAUCUCAUGUUGGUCUCUUAGUUUUUUAUACUGAUCUGAUACAUAUUAUUUUGAGUUGAAUACAACACAAAAUAUCACAAUGGUAAAAUUACAUUUCAAUCCAUCAUCGCCACAAAAAAAUAAGACUAAUAAGCUAUAAAUAUAUCAUAUAUCCUUCAAUCAAAGAUUCGUAAUCUUUUUAUUCUUAACACUUUAAGUAUUUAUAUUUUCAAUUACUUUCCAGAGGCGUCUCUUUUAAAUAUUGAUUUAGAUGGUAAACCACUUUAUUUAUUGUAUUUAAUAUUGUAAUUCUCACCCUACCCUUCCUAAAAUAUCAAUUACUUUCUCUGUUUCAUAAAGAGAGUUUUAUUAAACUUCACACAAAUCAUUUCGUUUGCCACCCUAGUCUUUUGCAAUCUUUCUUCAAGACACUUCCAAUUUUCGAGAGAGAAAACUCAUAUAUUUGUUUUUAUCAUAUUUAUUACAUUACAUUUUAAAAUUACAUGUAGUUGAAAAAAAAUGUGAAUUCAAUUUUAAAAGAAGUAAAAUAAUAAAAUUUGAUACUCUAUUCUUUUUAUUUAUGAACUAGUUACAUGACCCGCGCGAUGCCGCGGGUUAAUUUAUUUUUGCUUAAAAAAUAUAUAAAAAAAAAUAAGGUCUAAUAGUGUUAUGUUUUUCUGCAAAGUUAUACCCAAGAGUCUUGGGUUUGGCUGCAACACCUAACCCAAGAGUAAUAUUUAUAAUAUUAAUAAUAACAUCAAACUUGCAUGAUACAAGUUUAAAUGGGUCUGACUGCAAUACCGGACCCAAUAGCCUUGGAUGUGGGUCUGGCUGCAAGGUUGUGUCAUAAAAGUAUGAUAAUCAAAUAGAUUAAUUAAAAAGAAAAAAACAAAGAAAAAAAAACCAACCGGAAGAAAAAAACUAAUGAAGAAAAAGAAUUUUUUUUUUAAUUAACUGGGUUAACCCUUCAAACCAGGUUAACCCGUCAAACCUUGGAUUCAUGUCGUGAAAGUUUGAUAACUAAACAGGAAAAACAAAUUGAUGGGUUACCCGUAAUUAAUUGGGCUAACCUGUGAAACCAGGUUAAUCCAUCAAACCCGGGAUCCGUGUCAUGAAAGUUUGAUAACUAAAUAUAAAAAAAUUUAAUACUAACAAACUAAAUUAAACGAAAAAAAUUAACUAAAAAGGAAAAAAAACAAAAAAAAACAAAAGGCAUCAACAUUUUCAUUGUGGACUGCUCUGUGCAGUCCACAGUCAAAGGCAUAAAAAGGAAAAAAAGCAAAAAAAAAAAAACUAAAGGCAUCAAACAAUAACUAAAUAGAAAAAAAAAUUAAUAUUAAUGAACUAAAUUAAAUAAAAAAAUAUUAAUUAAAAAUAAAAAAUAAAGAAAAAAAACCUAUAAGAAGAAAAAAACUAAUGAAGAAAGAGAAAAAAAAUCUAAAUUAACUUUGAAUCAACUGGGUUAAUCUAUCAAAUCUGGGAUCCGUGUCAUAAAAGUCUGAUAAUUAAGUAGAAAAAAUUUAAUAUUAAAAAGUAAAUAAAAAAUAAUUAAAAAUAAAAAAAACAAAGAAAAAAGCUUAAAAAAAAACUAAAGGCAUCAGCUUUUUCACUGUAGAUUGCACUGUGCAAUCCAUAGUAAAAGGCUUAAAAAGGAAAAAAACAAAGGCGCACGCCACGGGUAAUUUUUUUUUCUUGCAUAAAAAAUAUCAAAAAAGGCUAAGAUCUAAGAGUGUUAGGUUUUUUUGCAAAGAUAUACCCAAAAGCCUUGGGUCUAGCUGCAACGCUUGACUCAAGAGUAAUAUUUAUAAUAUUAAUAAUAAUAUUAAACUCACAUGACUCAAGUUUAAGUGAGUCUGACUGCAACACCAGACCAAUAGCCUUGGAUGUGGGUUUGGCUGCAAAGUCAUGUCAUAAAAGUGUGAUAAUUAAAUAGAUUAACUAAAAAGAAAAAAACCAACAGGAAGAAAAAAACUAAUGAAGAAAAAGAAAAAAAAUUAAAUUAACUGGGUUAACCCUUCAAACCAGGUUAACCCGUCAAACUUGGGAUUCGCGUCAUGAAAGUUUGAUAACUGCAUAGAAAAACAAAAUUGACGGGUUAACCCAUGAAACCAAGUUAACCCGUCAAACCCGAGAUAUAUGUCAUGGAAGUCUGAUAACUAAAUAGAAAAAAAAUUUAAAAUUAACAAACUAAACUAAACAAAAAAAAUUAAUUAAAAAGAAAAAAAGAAAAAAAAUCCGGGUUAACUCGUCAAACCAGGCUAACCCGUUAAACCCGGGAUCCGUGCCAUGAAAGUCUGAUAACUAAAUAAAAAAAAUUUAACAUUAACAAAAUAAAUUAAAUAAAAAAAUUAUUAAAAGAAAAAAAAAUUGACAGCUUAACCCAAAAUUAAUUGGGUUAACCCAUGAAACUUGGAAUAUGUGUCAUGAAAGUCUAAUAACUUAAUAGAAAGAAAUUUAACAUUAACAAACUAAAGUAAACGAAAAAAAUUAAUUAAAAAGAAAAGAAAAACAAAAAAAAUAUUUCGGAUUAACUCGUCAAACCGUGUUAACCUGUUAAACUCGGAAUCCGUGUCAUGAAAGUCUAAUAACUAAAUAAAAAAAUUAACAUUAACAAACAAAAAAAUUUUAUUAAAAGAAAAAAAAAAACAAAGAAAGAAGCAAAAACAAAAAAAACCCUAAAGGCAUAAAAAAUGAAAAAAAAAAGAAGAAAAAAAACAGAAAAAAAUGAAAAAAAAAGAAGCUCAUCUUUUACUCAAAAACAAAAAACCCUAAAGGCAUAAAAAAUGAAAAAAAAAAACAAGAAGAAGAAGAAGAAGAAGCUCAUCUUUUAAUGUGGACUGCACUGUGCAGUCCACAGUAAAAAACUAAGCCCUUUUAGUAUAGUUUAAUAAACACAUAUGUUUUAAGAUAUUUAAAGGAAAAAAAGAACUCUCUCUUUAGGAGGAGAUGGAAGAAAUAUAAUGUUUAUUCUAUAGGCUCCACAUGGAGACAAUCACCAUAAAAUUAUAAUUAUUAUACUCGAUUCAAAAACUAUACUAGAAAAAAAAAUACGAGUCAUUCAGUUAUUAGACUAACUUGUGGAUCAUCAUAUCAAUUCAGUGGAUCAAUGACAUGUUAUAUUAAAAAUAAUUCAGUGUGCUGAAUGUAAACAUGCUUUAAUUUCAACAAACUUUUAAUUUAAUUUCAAUAUAUUUUUUAAUUAAUUUUAAAUUAAAUAAUAAUUUAAAAACUUGAGAGUUUGAACUAACAGAUAUAAAUCACGAUGAAAAUUCAACCUCUCUAUAACUCCUAUAUAAUAUCAUAAAAUCAAUUAUAUUGUAAUUUUUACAUUUUUAAUUAUUCUUAAAUGAUGAAAAAAAAUUCACUAGCUAAAAAAAUGGUAACUAGUCUAUGUUACUAGUGUAUUGACCCGCGUUGUGUCUUUGUCAGAUUAGUUUUUUUAAAAUGUAAAAAAGAAUGUUGAGAGCACGAGGAGUUUUUUUUUAUAGUGUUAUUAACUCUGAUCAAAUGGGUCACUCUUAAAACCUUUCGUCUCAGCUCUUUGCCAAACUCAAGUUUUCAAUUAAAUCGCGUGGCAGCUAGUUCAAUUUAAACAGUUGAUUUUAUAGAUCAAAAUGUAACUUGGAUGCCUGAUGAAAACAUUACUUAGCUUUCAAAAAAAAUUCAAGAUAAUUUUUUUUUUUAAAAAAAUAUCGAGACAAUGACAGACUGGAUCAAUCCUGGCCCCCUAAUAACCCGGAUCAUGAACUCUAUUGGAUUUAAUAAUUUUUUUUAUAAACUCUUUUUAAUUAUAUAAUAAAAAUAGAUGCUCGUAAAAUUAAACACCAACCCUAAAAUAUAUAUUUAUUUGAGACUAUGAUAAUCCAAUAGAAAACAAACAAAAAUAAACCUUAUAGUCUAUUCCUAACCAAUCAAAUAUUGAAGGACAAAAUAAAAAAAAUAAAGAAUCAAAAACAAAAAAAGCAUAUCCAGUCUGUUAGUAAACCUGUCAACCCUGUGAAUCGGGUAACUUGAGCUAGUAUGCCAAACCAGUGAACGGGGUUAUGGAUUCCACUGAGAUUAUAAUUUGUUUUUUCUUAAAAAAAUAUUUUUAUUUAACUAUAUGAUAAUAAAAAUAAACGAUCGCAAAAUCGAAUAUUAACUCAAUACCGAGAUAUUUUUUGAGACCGCAAUAACUUUAUAGAAAGCAAAUCAAAACCAAUUAUGGAAUUGAAUUCCCAAUUAACCCAAUAUCUAUAGAUGAAAUUGAAAAAAAGAGUUAAACUUUCCAAACCUGCGAACCAUGUCAACCAACCGAACCUAUGAAUAGAUCUAUGAACUUUAUAAAAUUUAAGAACAUGUUUUUUUUUAAACUAUUUAUUUAACUAUACAAGAAAAAAAUAAACGACAACAAACUCAAGUUCAAUUAAAAAAAACAUUUCGUCAAACUCAUAAACCAGGAUAACUUGGGUUACCCAAGUAAACCCGCAAAUACUUUAACCAUAUAAAAAGACAAAUUAAAAAUAAAUAAUUUACAAGAUUUAAUUCUAAAUUAUCUUAAUAUUAAAAGACAGAAUAGACAAAAACAGUUUUGAAAAAAAAAAAGCAAAGCGAGAGCAGAGAGAGCAUAUCAUGAAAUUUUUGCUAUAAAAAUAAUAAUAGCAAAGGCUAAAAGUUUUGUAUGCUUAAAGGAAAAGUGGACGAUGGACGACGUGGUUUUGUCCCACAGGUUGAAAAAAGGCUUGUGAUGAAAUCGUUUCAGCCUAGCUUAAGUUUAAUUUCCCAUUCUUCUGCUUGUCGUGCAUCUUUUAUUCCCCGAGCUAAACUCAACAGAACACUCAUUACCCAAAAAAAUAAACAUACCCCUCCCCUGUCCCUGUCACUCGUAGGUUUAAGACCCGGCCUGGUUCAAGGCCUGGGUUCUGGGUUUUGACCGGGUCGGCCGGGUCAUUUUUUUUUUAAAAAAAUCAAAACGACGUCGUUUUAGUAAAAAAAAAUCAAAAGUCAACGGGUUUGCAACUGGGUCUUGACCGGGUCAGCCGGCUCACAUCAGGUUUUUUCUUCCCAUUUUUUUUCUUCAACCCGGCCCGGUUCCAGCCCCGGGUCGGCUGGGUCUCAGGUCAACCCACUAGGCCAGGCCGGGUUUCAAAACUAUGCUUUCACUCGAAGGGUUAGUUCGAGUUUCUUCCCAUUCUUUUGCUUCUCGUGCAUCUUUCGUUUUGAUAUUUGACUCGCAUUUCACAACAGUUUAGAUAUUUUUUUCUCAAUAAAAAAAAUGUAUAUAUAGACUUUUUCAACAUGUUUUUUAUUUGAAAAAUAAUUCUAAGUGAAAAUCAAAAUAUUUAUACAUACAUGCAAUCAAAUAAAUUGAGAACUAUGUGUGUUAAUAAACGAAAAAAAACCAUAAAUGAUGACUAAAAAUAAAAACUAGAAAAAUCAAGAGACAUGUGUAUAUCAAGAUAUUUAACUUCACAAGAUUAUGACAUUUAGGCGGUUGUGUUUGCUAAAUUUGUUAAUUAAAAUAAUUUUUUUAUCCAAUCAAACGAUAAUAAAAAUAGACACACAUAUUAAAUUGUUUGAAUAAAAUAAAAGAAAAAAAAUAAUAUGCAAAGCUGUACAUAUUAGAAAUUUUUUUUGAAAUUUUUUUUAUUUUCAGAAAUAAAGUUCAUAUAUACAAUAGAUUAAAAAAAUAUAGAUUAAUCAGAAAAACAUCAUCAGAAAUUAAAUGCAUAAUUAAAAAAUAAUUGUCAUUUCAAAUAGGCUUUUUAAAUAACAUAAAAGAGAGAAGAGAUAUUGAUCUAAAUAUAAAUAUAAAUAAAAUUAAGAUUAAGAUUAAUUUAAAAAAAUAGAAACAAAAAAAGAAAGUAUUUUUUCUUCAACAAAAAAAAGAAGUAAAUAGUGUCAUCAAUAGUAAAACUUGUGGGGUGAACUCGGACUAUGAACUCAACCGGUUUUUUCCCCUUAAAUUUGUGGCAAACCUAAAAAAAAGUGAACAAUGUUGUCCAUGGUAAAACAUAAAGGGGUGAACAGCCAGGCCUCACGCCUGCCCCAAUGAACCACCGGCCUGCGCUCGGGUAAACAUGGCCCAGACACCCACAUUAAACUAAAAAAGUAAUAACAAUUCAGUGUGUUGAAUGUAAACAUGCUUUAAUUUCAACAAACUUUUAAUUUAAUUUCAAUAUAAUUUUUAAUUAAUUUUAAAAUUAAAUAAUAAUUUAAAAACUUGAGAGUUUGAACUAACAUAUAUAAAUCACGAUAAAAUUUCAACCUCUCUAUAACUCCUACAUAAUAUCUUAAAAUCAAUUAUAUUGUAAUUUUGAUAUUUUUAAAUAUUUUUAAAUGAUGAAAAAAAAUCACCAACUGAAAAAACGUUAACUAGUCUAUAUUAAAAGUCUAUUGACCCGUGCUCUGUCUUUGUUAGAUUAAUUUUUUUAAAACAUAAAAAAGACUAUUGAGAGCACGAAGAGUUUUUUUUAUAAUGUUAUGAACUCUGAUCAAAUGGGUCAAUCUUAAAAUCUUUUGUCUCAGUUUUUUAUCUAAUUCAAGUUUCAAAUUAAAUCGUGUGAGAGAUAGUCUGAUUUAAACAAUCAAUUUUAUGGAUCCAAAUGUAACGUGGAUGACUAAUGAAAACAUAACUUAGCUUUUAAAAAGAAUUCAAGAUAAUUUUUUUUAAAAUAUCGAGACAAUGACAGAUUGAAUCAAUCCCGAUCCCCCAAUAACCCGGAUCAUGAACUCUAUUUGAUUUAAUAACCUUUUUUUAUAAACUCUUUUUAAUUAUAUAAUAAAAAUAGAUACUCAUAAAAUUAAACACCAACCAUAAAAUAUAUAUUUAUUUGAGACUAUGAUAAACCUAUAGAAAAUAAACAAAAAUAAACCUUAUAGUCUAUUUCCUAACCAAUCCAAUAUUGAAGGACGAAAUAAAAAAAUAAAGAAUAAAAAAAACAUCCAGUCUGUUAGUAAACCUGUCAAACCUGUGAAUCAGGUAACUGAAGCUAGCAUGUCAAACCAGUGAACGGGGUCAUGGACUUCACUGAGAUUAUAAUUUUUUUUUUAAACAUUAACCCCUUGUACCGUCAUCAUCUUUUAACCACUUCCCUUUCAUCUCCCCUCUCUUCUGUUUUUUUGGCUCCAUUCUAGCAUCUUUUGUUAAUAUCAAAAAUAAAAUAUAAAAUAUAAAAAAUAUUUUAAUAUAUUUUUACAUGAAAAAAACAAUUUAGAAAACGACAUCACUGCAGACUUUGACAGUUCCAUGCAUGUACUUUUCGGAGAACUGUCAUCCCAAGGACACAGAUAGAGAUAAACAUGAUCAAUCAUGGAAGGUAAAUUUAGAUCAUUGAUUUUGAAAUUAAUGGCUUAGAUUUUAUUUAUUUGGAAAAAAAUAACUAUCAAUUUUAAAAGAAUUCUAAGAAACCAUUAACUUUUUUAAUGUGUUGUCCAAGAGAAAUUCAACCUUGAGAUCUCUUUGAAAAAUUAAAGACAUUAAUACCAUUUGAGCAUAUUAGUUCGGUAAAAUGAAAUCUAAACCUUUAAUUUUAAAGAUAAUAAAUUAUUUUUAUUUAGGGGUUGUUUGUGAAUGUGAUAGUAGUUGCUGUUUAAAGUGUUUUUUAUUCAAAAAUAUAUCAAAAUAAUAUAUAUUUUUUAUUUUUUAAAAAAUUAUUUUUGAGACCAGCAUAUAAAAACAAUCUAAAAACAUAAAAAUUAAAUUUUAUCCUCCCUCCGUUUAAACCGCACUCCUAGAAGGGGGCUUAAUAUGAGAGGUCAUGUUACUCCGAACAUAAAGAGUGCUCAAUCAUUAAAAGCAAAUAAUAUCUUCACUCAUGAACACUCAACAAAAAAAAGUAAUAAAAAUUAUUAUUUUUAUAGAUAUAAAUUUAAUAGGUUUAAAAAAACCCAAAAAACUCGAAAAACAUCACCUUCAAGCUCGGGUCAGCAGCUACCAAGAUGCAUGCUACCUGGAUCCAAUUAAAUUUUUGGCUUGGACACGUGCCCCAACAACCUAUGGGCUCGGGCACGCUCCCCAAGGCCAACUUGUCCUUACCUAACUCUCCCUUUAUAAUUUUCUCAGGAUCUCAUGUUGGUCUCUUAGUUUUUUAUACUGAUCUAAUACAUAUUAUUUUGAGUUGAAUACAACACAAAAUAUCACAAUGGUAAAAUUACAUUUCAAUCCAUCAUCGCCACAAAAAAAUAAGACUAAUAAGCUAUAAAUAUAUCAUAAAUCCUUCAAUUAAAGAUUCGUAAUCUUUUUAUUCUUUACACUUUAAGUAUUUAUAUUUUCAAUUACUUUCCAGAGGCGUCUCUUUUAAAUAUUGAUUUAGAUGGUAAACCACUUUAUUUAUUGUAUUUAAUAUUGUAAUUCUCACCCUACCCUUCCUAAAAUAUCAAUUACUUUCUCUGUUUCAUAAAGAGAGUUUUAUUAAACUUCACACAAAUCAUUUCGUUUGCCACCCUAGUCUUUUGCAAUCUUUCUUCAAGACACUUCCAAUUUUCGAGAGAUAAAACUCAUAUUUUUUUUUAUCAUAUUUAUUUCAUUACAUUUUAAAAUUACAUGUAGUUGAAAAAAAAUGUGAAUUCAAUUUUAAAAGAAGUAAAAUAAUAAAAUUUGAUACUCUAUUCUUUUUAUUUAUGAAUAAAAACAUAAAGUUUCCAUAGGUUUAACAUAGUUUUGAAAAAAACACAUGUUAUUAAACUUUCCAUACCUGCGAACCAUGUCAACCAACCGAACUUAUGAACAGAUCCAUGGACUUUAUAAAGUUUAAUAACAUGUGUUUUUUUCAAAACUAUUUUUUUAACUAUACGAGAAAAAAAUAAAUCAUAAUAAACUCAAGUUCAAUAAAAAAAAAAAACACUUUGCCAAACCCAUAAACCAGAAUAACUGGGGUUACCCAAGUAAACCUGCAAAUUACUUUAACAAUAUAAAAAGACAAAUUGAAAUUAAAUAAAUUACAAGGUUAAAUUCUAAAUUAUUUUAAUAAAAUAAAUAAAAAUAAUUUUGAAAAAAAAAACGAUAAGCAAAGCGAGAGAAGAGAGAGCAUAUCAUGAAAUUUUUGCUAUAAAAAUAAUAAUAGCAAAGGCUAAAAGUUUUGUAUGCUUAAAGGAAAAGUGGACGAUGGACGACGUGGUUUUGUCCCACAGGUUGAAAAAAGGCUUGUGAUGAAAUCGUUUCAGCCUAGCUUAAGUUUAAUUUCCCAUUCUUCUGCUUGUCGUGCAUCUUUUAUUCCCCGAUCUAAACUCAACAGAACACUCAUUACCCAAAAAAAAAACAUACCCCUCCCCUGUCCCUUUCACUCGAAGGGUUAGUACGAGUUUCUUCACAGAUUGUUGAAAAUAUGAAGGAUAAUUGUUUUGUGACGACUGAUUGCGUCAUCAUUAAAAUAGGUAGAUUUAAAAUGUGUUAAUGAUUUUUUAAAAGUAUUUUUUAUUUAAAAAUAUAUUAAAAUUAUAUAUUUUUUUUAAAUUUAUUUUUAAUAUCAAUAUAUUAAAACCCUUUAAAAACAUAAAAUUAUUUUAAUUUAAAAUAAAAAUAAUUAAUUUUAAAAAAAAACACGGCAACCUGCAAUAGUUAACACUCCUAUAAUCUCGUGGACAUGUUGAGUGUUUUUUUUUUGGACUAUUAACUCGGUCGAGUUUGAACCGGAUCGGAUAACCUGAAUUAUUAAAAUCCUAUCAUAUAUAGUUAAAUGAGUUUUAUCGGUCAAAAUCUUGGUUAAUUCAACUAGUAACCUGAACCGAUUUUGAAUUUUGAAUUUCCUACAUUAAUCUAUCCGGUUGGCAAAGUUUUAUAACUAUGUAAAAAAAAUAAAAAAAAAUGCAGUACGAGCACUCCACUCGUAUAUAAAAGACACCGAAGGUUUGAACUUUGAUCACUGAAUUGAGGUGUUGCCAAUUGAACUUCAUUGGUACUUGUAGAAUAUGGCAGAUGAGAAGAAACAAAACCUGGAAAACAAACCUGUGUUGUCUCCACCUCUACCCGAGAGGAAGAAAAACACCUUACCAAACUUCCUUUUAUCUGUUCAGCUCAAAUAUGUGAAACUUGGUUACCACUACUUGGUUUCCAAUGCCAUGUACCUCAUGCUCAUGCCAGUACUUUGCGUGAUUUUUGCUCAUCUUUCAACAUUCACAGUUGAUGAGCUUUGGAAUCAACUCAAAUUCAAUUUUGUGACAGUAGUUCUUUCCUCAACCUCAAUUGUUUUUACUGCUACACUCUACUUCAUGAGCCGUCCAAGAAAAGUUUACUUGGUGGAUUUUUCAUGUUACAAGCCCGGACCAGCUCAUAAAGCAUCUAGAGAACUCUUCAUGCAGUUAUCUGCACAGUCCGCGGUUUUCACAGAGCAAAGCUUAGCUUUUCAAAAGAAAAUCCUAGAGAAAUCAGGCUAUGGUGAAAUGACCUACGCUCCAAAAGGCUUGAUGCGUGUCCCGCCAGACCAGUCCAUGGCUGAAUCCUGGAGGGAAUCAGAGAUGGUGAUGUUCGGAGCAAUUGAUGAUCUCUUGGCCAAAACAAUGGUGAAGCCUAGAGACAUAGGAAUACUUGUGGUGAAUAGCAGUUUGUUCAAUCCCACGCCGUCUCUCUCAGCUAGAGUUGUGAAUCACUACAAGCUUAGAGGGAACAUUUUGAGCUAUUAUCUUGGUGGUAUGGGCUGCAGUGCAGGACUUAUUUCUAUUGAUCUUGCCAAAGACCUUUUACAGGUUUGUUACUUCAAAUGGCAAACUUUUACGGUUUUUAAGGUCUGGUGGCUGGACCGGUCCGGGUUUAACAAAAGACCGGCUGUGGCAACAGCCCGGCCAAACCCGGGCGACCCAGGCGAACCCGGACGAGACCCGGUUUUUUUUUUUUUUUCCCUUCAAAUGUGGGAUUUGAAACACAUUAGUAUAUAUACUCUAUGUUCCCAAGAAAAAAGUCAUGUUUUUUCAAUGUGGGAUAAAAAACCUUUUGGUUUAAAUACUUCAACUUAAAAGGAUAACAUAGUAUUUUUUUCAAUGUGGGGUUUGAAGCCCUUUCAUAUAUAUAUAUACACUAUGUUCCCAUGAAAAAAACCAUGUCUUUUCAAUGUAGGAUAAAAAACAUUUUGGUUUAAAUACUUCAACUUAAAAGGAUAACAUAUUAUCUUUUCAAUGUGGGUUUGAAGCCCUUUCAUAUAUAUAUACACUAUGUUCCCAUGAAAAAAACCAUGUCUUUUCAAUGUGGGAUAAAAAACCUUUUGGUUUAAAUACUUCAACUUAAAAGGAUAACAUAGUAUCUUUUCAAUGUGGGGUUUGAAGCCCUUUCAUAUAUAUACACUAUGUUCCCAUGAAAAAAACCAUGUUUUUUCAAUGUGGGAUAAAAAACCUUUUGGUUUAAAUACUUCAACUUAAAAGGAUAACAUAGUAUCUUUUCAAUGUGGGGUUUGAAGCCCUUUCAUAUAUAUACACUAUGUUCCCAUGAAAAAAACCAUGUUUUUUCAAUGUGGGAUAAAAAACCUUUUGGUUUAAAUACUUCAACUUAAAAGGAUAACAUAGUAUCUUUUCAAUGUGGGAUUUGAAGCCCUUUAAUAUAUAUACUCCAUGUUUCCAUGAAAAAAGUUAUGUUUUUUCAAUGUGGGAUUUGAAACCCAUUAGUAUAUAUACUCUAUGUUUCCAAGGAAAAAGUUAUGUUUUUUCAAUGUGGGAUAAAAAACUUUUUUAGUUUAAAUACUUUAACUUAAAAGUUUAACAUAAUAUCUUUUUAAUAUGGGAUAAAAAACUUUUUAAAAUAUUCUUUUAAACUUCAUAAUAUGUAUAAUCUAUAUUUACAUGGAUUUUUUCAUAUGAAAUAUUAAAACUUUAUUUUUUUUUAAUUUUUCCGGGUUAAUCCAGGUUGACCCGAGUUGACCCGGGUUGACCCCUGAAACCCGGGACCCGGCCCCUUGGCCGGGUCAACCCCCGGGCCGGGUUUAAUAACUAUGUUAAAAAUACGAUAUAUUAAAGAUUACUCAAGCGUGUGUAUAAAUGCACAUGCUAUCUGGAGAGUGAAUUUAAAUUUAAAAGUAUUUAGCAUAUCAUUUAUGAAUAUCUCAUUAUGGGCCUUAGACAGCAUGAGUCUACCUUAAAAGAUUCAAGUACUAUCUAAACCUAAUUAUUAUGGGCUUUAAACAGCAUGAGCCCAUCUUAAACUAUAAAGAGGGCAUUUGGGGAAGGAAAGCAACAAGCCUCGUAAAACAAAAUAGAGGUUAGAUACAAGAAAAUAGAUUUUUCAAUAUUAGAGCUCAAAGGGAUCGUUCAACCACAUAGGCAUUUGUAAAUUAAAUUAAUGUCGAUAGUCUAUGGAUACAAAUGCACAACAUCAAGAUUACCUAAGUGUUAUAAAACAUUAAUUUAUAAAUCAUUAGCAACCGCCCAUUAAGCUAGUGAAAUGAAAUUUAAAUCAUUAAUUUUAAAAAAAUAAUGAUUUUAGAUUUUCUAAUAUGAUUGUGUUACUCUUAAAUAUAAGGAGAGCCCGAUCCUUGACAAAGAAUGAUAUAUUCACUCAUGGACAUUUGAAAAAAACAAAAAAGCUAUCUUUCUCGUAUUGGUUUAGGUGGUAAACCAGUUUAUUUUUUACCUCAUAUUUUUAGGUUUGAAUUCAAGAAAAAAUUACAAUAUUUUUAUAACAUGAUUUUAUAUAUCUUUUGUGAAUAUUAUAAAGUAAUUUACUUUAAAUAAUUAUAAUAUUUUCAUUCAAACCUAGCUUUUGGUCCAUAAUAUAUCAUCGAAACUUCAAAUAUCUAGCUUCGAACCAAUUGAUAAAACAGCAAAAUACCACUUAAAAUUAAAUAUACUAUAUAGAAUGCUUUUGGGAUUAAUUUACUUGUAACCGAACUCCAAAACUCAAAUUUUUAUUUUGUACGAUUGUCUUCAUGUAUAAGAAAAUUAAGUCAUUUUAAUAGUAAAAACCUUUAAGUACCCAACCACACUAGUACAAAUGAAUUAUUGGUGCCCACGCACAAUAUUUUUUAAAAAUGAUUUCUGAUGGGGUUCAAAUAUUUCAUCAUGAGAUUGUGGGUCAAGGAUUAUAUAUUAGAUAAUUGAUCAAUUUUCUAGCUAUGGUUAUCUGAUUAAUUUUUUCUAAUCAAAAUGGCUUGUGGCUAAUAUUUAAUCCCUGUAAAAGAUUUUUUUUGAUGAAUUUGAAGACUUCUAAAACUUAAGUAAGUAUAGUUGGAUAUAAAGUAAAAUUAUAUUUUAGAAAAGAAUUCCAAUAAUAAAUAUCUAAUAGGGAGUCCGGAAAAAAUUGAAACUUCUCUUGAAGGAUUUUCAUGGUCUUUUUUAUAGCACAUAUGACUUGUCUCUUUUUGAAUGGAAGGUGUCAAAGUAAAAGUAAAAUAUUUUUGACUCGUUAGGGAGUAAAAUAUCUUUGACUCAUGGUCUAAUAAUAGAAUCUAAGAUUCUAAGCGUAAAAAAAGAGCAUGGGUUCAACGCUUGGUUGAAUCUAAAAAUAAUAAAUCUGGUAGCUCGCCGGACCUAUAUAUAUCUGAGCUCAACACUUAACUAAGUUAAAAAUAUUGAUUUAUCACCUUAUCUUUAGUCAUUUUUUAGAAAAGACAAUUAAGAUAAAAAUAAAAUACGCUCGUGAAAAAUAACACUUCUUGAAAAAAAUCCAUUUAACUCUUCUAGAGAAGACAUUACAUGCAUUAAUAUAUACUAGAUAUUUGGCCCGCAUUUACAGUAGUUUAGAUUUUUUUUUCUCAAUAAAAAAAUUUAUAGACUUUUUCAACAUGUUUUUUAUUUUAAAAAAAUUCUAAGUGAAAAUCAAAAUAUUUAUACAUAUAUGCAAUCAAAUAAAUUGAGAACUGUGUAUAUUAAUAAGUGAAAAAAAAAACAACCAUAAACGAUGACUAAAUAUAAAAACUGGAAAAAUUGAAAGACAUGUAUAGAUCAAAAUAUUUAAUUUUGCAAGAUGUGACAUUUAGGCGGUUGUGUUUGCUAAAUAUAUUAAUUAAAAUAAUUUUUUUAUCCAAUCAAACGAUAAUAAAAAUAAACACACAUAUUAAAUUGAUUGAAUAAAAUAAAAGAAAAAAAAUAAUAUGUAAAGUUGUACAUAUUAUAAAUAUUAUUUGAAAAUAAAUUUCUUUUUAUUUUCAAAAAUAAAUUUCAUCUAUACAAAAGAUUAAAAAAAUAUAGAUUAAUCAUAAAAACCUCAUCAAGAAUUAAAUGUAUAACUAAAAAAUAAUUAUCAUUUCAAAUAGGCUUUCCAAAUAACAUAAAAGAGAGAAGAGAUAUUAAUCUAAAUAAAAUUAAAAAUAAAAAUAAAAUUAAGAUUAAUAUUAAUAUUAAUUUUAAAAAAUAAAAAAAAAAAAAUAUAUUUUUUCUUUAACAAAAAAAAAGAGUAAAUAGUGUCGUCCACAUUAAAACUUGUGGGGUGAACCCAGACCAUGAACUCAACCGGUUUUUUCCCCUUAAAUUUAUGGCAAACCUAAAACAAAGUGAACAAUAUUGUCCAUGGUAAAACAUAAGGGGAUGAACAUUGCGGCUGCACAGUAUUUACCUCACACAUUUUCCCCUUAAAUUUAUAGAAAAACCUUAAAAAAGAAAACAAUGACUAGUGUCGUCCACAGUAAAACGCGAGGGGGUGAACAGUGUGUCUGUAUAAUGUUCACAACACACGCUUUAGUUUAUUUAAGGUGAACCCGAAUUAUGAAUUCAAUCGGGUUUAAUAUUUACCCCCCUCAAAUUUAUACCAAACCUAAAAAAAAUAAACAAUGUCGUCUAUAGAUGAGGGGGCGAACAAUGCGACUGUACACCCCACAUGCUUUAUAUAUAUAUGAAAAAUGGGAAAAACACUAUGGACUUGCAUAUUAUUUUUCCCACGCAGUUUAGAUUAUACUAAAUAGAUUGCCUGCACGUUGCUGCAGGUUACUUUUAGAAACAUGCGCUGCUUUUAAUUAUGAGACAAUUGAAAAAAAAAGUGUUUUCUAAGCAUGCAACCAAGAGCAGAUAACAUUAAAAAUGUAUAUGAUUUACUUUCAAGCAAUGAAUAAGUAGCAUGCAAAAAACUUGCAUAAACUGUCUCGAAUUUCAUAUAAAAAUCAAAUUGUAAAAUAUAAAGAGAAAUCAAUCUAACAUAGACAUUGUUUGAACAACUCAAAACAAAAGGUGGCAUGAUAUAUAUAUAUCGAAAAACUUAUGCACGACUCUAAUUAAACAACCUAAUAAACAUUGUGUAAAUUAAUGACAAAAAAAAUCAUAAACAAUAAAUAAAAAAAAGAUGACUUGAGAAACCCAAGCGAAAAAUAAAGAUAAAGAUAUCUCACAUCACAACACAGGUAAUUUACUUGGUCAUGUUUAAUAAAUUUCUCUAUCAAAAUAAGUUUGUAAUAGAAAAACAAAUAAAAUUUGUAAUAGAAACCGACACACAUAAAAUUUAUUGAACAAUAUAUAUAUAAAAAGAAUAUUGCAAAGCUACAUAUAUUAAAAAUCUUAUAAAAAAUCAAUAUUAAAAAUAAUCUAUAUAAAAUUAAGAAAAAACCAAAGAUGAAUCAUACUCACCUCUCUAAAAACGAAAUACACCCAAUAUCAUUUAAAAAUAAUCACAAUCUAAUUAAAACAUAAACCAAAAAUUUAUUUGGAAAAGUAUGCACAAAUGAUGCAUUAUUUAAAAAAAACAAAAAAAAAGUAUAUAUGUAUAUAUAAAAGAACUAGGCCAGAAGCUUGUAGGUCUAGUAAGCUAGGCCCGACGCCUAGCCUAAUGAACCAACAGCCUGCACUUGGGCCUGCAAUGUCAGGCCUAAACACAUGCCCUUUUUUAAAGUUUAAUGGGGUGGACAACGCGUCGUUCGCCCCAAAUAUUUCAAAAAAAUAAUGCGUCGCUUACUCCAUCUUAGAAUACGGCCUUUGUGAUGGCUGGAAGAACAAGGUCUGUCGUUUUUUCACCCAAAAAUCUCAUUUUCAACCUAUUUUUUACCCAAAACACAUAGAAAUAGGGGUGAUUAUUUUCAGUUCGGUUCGAUUUUUAUCAAAAAAAGUAACCAAACCGGUUUUUUGAAAUACCAAAACCGGUUCAAACCGACCGAUUUCAAUUCGAUUCGGUUAUUUUAGAACAAAAACCGGUUCAAACUGACCCGUUUCAGUUUGGUUUGGCUCUGUUUUUUCUGAUUUGGCUCGGUUUUUGGUUUGGGUUCGGCUCGGUUUUUCAGUUUUAGGCUUAUAAAACCAAACCGAACCAGUUGGUUUUUUAAAAAUUCUAAUUAGUUUUUUUUCACGGUUCGGUUUUUUUGGUUUUUUUGCUCAUUCCUACCUAGAAAACACCAUAGAGACCUUGUUAAACCAAUCUAUUGCAACAAAAAAGCCAAAAAACCACCACAAAAUCCACUCGAAACAAAAAUUCUUCCCGAGCUCAGAUUUGUUGUUUUAGGUGCUUUAAAGGUAAAAACAAAUACAUAAACGUAACCCCCUCAUCAUAUGAAAUCUUUUGACACAAAAAUCAACCAUUUUAGUUAUCAGAAUCUUCCCCAAUAGCUACUUUCUCUCUCUAGACCGGAAUCCGAGGACUCCCUCUCUCUCCUCUCAACAAAAAAAGACUGAAAAAAGAGGAAAAUGAAGUUAGGUAUCAAAGUGUAUUAUUUUGAAAUAUAAGGUACCAAUCACUUUAUACCAAAAAAAUAUUGGGGAUUAAAAUGAAUGUUUCAAUGAAACUUUCAACCCUCUCCCAAUGCUACCCGAGAUUUUCACUUUAGUCCCUUAGCUUUCAAUUCAAUCCUCCUUCCUAUAAAAAUACAAUCGAAGGCUAAUUUAGGCUCCAAAAAUCCAAAUCACGCAAAAUAAAAGUUCAGAGAUUAAAGUGAAAAUUUUCAAAAAUUACAUUGUUCUAAUCCACAGCAGGUUAUGAAAUAGUGCACAGUGUUUUAGCUAAUGUAAAAAGCUAAUGCCUUUUAGUUUUGUACUAGUUAGGUGGCCCGCUCUACGUUGCGAGCCAACAUUUUUUUGGCAUAAAAAAUAUAUAAAAAAAUAAGACCCAAGAGCCUUGGGUCUAACUGCAGCGUUAGACCCAAGAGAAUUGGAUUUGGGUCUGGUUGCACCGUCAAACCCAAGAGCUUUGGGUGCAGGACUGGCAAGAGCCUUGAGUCUGGCUACAACCCCGGACCCAUGAGUAAUUUUUAUAAUAUUAAUUAUAAUACCAAUAGUAAUAUUUAUAAUACAAAUAAUAAAUUUUUAAUAUUAAUAAUAAUAUUAAACUUGUUUGGCCCAAGUUCUUAUAGUUUUUAAUCCCUUUAAAUCAAAUUUAUGGUUUUUCUUUAAUCUUAAACGCCAGACCCAGGAGCCUUGGAUCCGGAUGCUAGACCCAAAAGCUGCGGGCCCGAACACCAGAUCCAAGAGCCAUGGGUCGAUCUGCAAGGCCAGGCCCAAGAACCUUGGGCAGGUUGCAACGCCGAACCCAAGAGCCUGAACAACUUGGGCUUGACGCGCCUUUUCAGCCCCAAGUUAAUUAGGUCUAGAAGGGGAUGUCAAACUCAAGUUAAUAAUGAAAAUAAUAAUAAUAAUUUAUUUUACCCUUCAAAUCAAAUUUAUGUUUUUUUUAUAAUAAUAAUAUAUUUUUUAAAAUUUAAUAAUAUUAAUGAAUAUAAUAAUAUUUGUAAUAUUAAUAAUAAUAUUAAACUUGUUUGACCCAAAUUUUUAUAGUUUUUAAUCUCUUCAAAUAAAAUUUAUGGUUUUUCUUUGAUAGUAAUAAUAUUUUUUUCCAAAUUUAUUAAUGAUAAUACUCAUUUCUGGACCCUAUGUUUGCUGGAAGAUUGACAAAAGCAAAUGAAAGAAAUAUUUUUUCGAAACCCUGUUUGAGCUGUUUUCUGCUCUCUUUAUCCUUCCCCUUUGCUGCCAAAAUCAUCAGGUUUUCUUAGAUUGAUCAGAAGUCUUCAUAAUGCCAAAUUCAUUCCUUUUUUAUCUGGUCUUUAAAGUUGAAAAAAUCCCUCAGAAUUUGCAUAAAAAAAUGGUUCUGUUGUUGUCGCAAUUUUUUGUUCCAACUUAGGCUCUGAUUCUGACUCGGUUUCGUACGAUAUCUGACCAUCCUAGGUAUAUUCUGUCACUCAUGAUAUGUUAAAAAAUUGGCGUACACCUUUAUUAGGUCCUAGGGAUCAUUGUUCUUAGGGAAAAUUCUCAGUCAGAUUCGGAUGCUCAGCAUCGUCAGAUCAAGAACCUUUUUGACCAACUAGAUUACUAGCAGAUUCUGUUCUCUAAAAUGAUUUUAUCUCACUUCAACUCCUUCAUCAAAUUUGUAGUCCGGGACACGUAGAUGAAUUUGAGCUUUUGAAUUGUUUGAUUCCGAUAUCAGAAACUCAAGAUAUUCCUGUUUGAAAUCUAGCGUGAAAACAUAGAAUCUUGUCGCGAGAAGGUUUCCAGCCGAGUUUGGUUGCAAUUCUGUUAUUCAAAACGAAUUUAUCUCACUUUGAAUCCUUCAUUUAAGUUGUAGUCCGGGACACGUAGAUGAAUUUGGGCUUUUUGAAUUGCUUGAUUUCAAUAACAAAAGCUCAAGAUAUUCCCAUUUGAAUAUCUAGUGUUGAAAGCAGGGAUUCCUGACCGCGAGAAGGAUUUUUGCCCAAGUUCACAGGACUGAUUCGAAGGAUUUUUUUUAACCAAGGACUGAAUCAAAAUGUGCUAAAUUGAGGGAUUGAAUUGAAGAAGGACAUUGAAAGCUGGAGAGGGGGGCUGGAUCAUCAUAAAUGACAGGAUUUUUACCACACCGAAUAAGGAAAAUAGGACUUUGCAGCUGCACCCUCCAUCUAAUUUCUUUCCUUUUUUUUUCUCUGCUGUUUUCCUUUCUCAUCACGCCUGAUUUUUGGAGCUGAAGACCACGUUUUUGUUGCCUCAUUUCAAAGGGAGCAGCUAGCCCUAUGGAAGGAAAGAAAAGAGCCACACCAUCCUCUAACUAGGAAAGAAAUCACUGCUGAUCACAAAAUCAGAAUCAAACAUUCUGGUUUCCUAUUUCUGCUCACCCGAGAAUACACCCUAGAGUUAAUGUAAUAUUUGUUUCCUAAAUAAAGCUGUGUAUAGGCUAUAUAGAAGCCUCGGCUGCUGACCUAAAGGUGGGGGGGAAACGCAGAAAAGAGAGAGCAUAAAAAGGAGACAAAAAACGGAAAAAAAAAUAGCAGCAAAGAGAGAGCAGAAAAGAGAGGAGAGGAUAGAGAAAACACGGCAAAAGAAAGAGAAGGAAAACGCAAGAGAGGCAGGCGACGGGGAAACCAGUCAUUUACCAGCACAUAGCUGAAAUAUUUUGUCCGUUUCAGCAUCUCUAUUUUCGUCUGUCAUUUACCAGCAGCCAAGGAGGCACGCGUGAGCUGUGUCUUUCGGCCUUGGGUUUUAUUUUCUGCAAACAGGAGCUGCAGUUUGAAGGAACACGCAAGAGAGGCAGGCGACGGUAUUCAAGGAAGAACGCGUGAGCUGUGAUUUUUUUGGUCCCUGGUUUCAUUUUCUGCAAACAGGAGCGGCAUGUAUAAGCCCCAAUCUCUCCUCCUUUGUUAUUUUUAUACUAAGCAUUCGGUUGUAAAGCUUUUCUUCCUUCUGAAAUAAUUGGUUUCUGUUUAGAAAAACCAACGCUUGCCUCUUAUUUUUUUCAUGAUUUUUGAGUUCAGUUGCUACCCAUGUAAAAAAGGUUUUUUCUUUCAUGUUUAGGAACUUUUACAUUUAGGGACUUUCCUUUUGUUUUCCUUACACCCGUUGGAGAAGAAAUCAGCCGGUCUUUGUUUUUUUUUUAGUGAUUUCUCCCAGUUUUUUUUUUUGUUUUUAUUCUGGCUAUCUGCGCAUUAAGUUGGCUUUGAAAUUUUUAUUAUUAUUGCUUUAAGCUUAUUAUAAAUCUUAGAAUAUAUAUGUAACAUCCCCCAUUUCUGGGAUAAAACAACAAUCUCAUGUCAAUAGAAAAACAUAGUACUUAAAAAAAAAAAUUCUUUUUUUUUUGUAUAUACAUAUUCAUGGUCUUCGUAUUAACAUCUACCGGAAUUUCGACGGAGUCCCCCCUAUACCGGAAGGUCCCAAAUUACCGAUAUGUAACUUGUUUACACUUCUAACAGUUCGCAUCUCAUAACUUAAUUCCCGACCCAAUCAUCCUGGGUUUCAAUUCCACAAUUAUACUCACACCUAUCAACUAUAAUAUUUAUGAUAUGCAUUAUAUAACAAAAAUAUCAUUAUGGAUGGAUAAUUUAAAUAAAUAUAAAUACAUAGACAUGAAAUAUAGUUAUAUAAACUACAGCGUUAAAUUCAUCCAAUCAAGUUUAAAUAUUUAUUAUACAAAUUAAGUUAUACAAACAUUUUCAUGUUUACAAAAUACAAGGGUAUACUCCCUAGAACCUAGAUUUCAAGAAGGGAACAUAAGCUAAGAUCUACUCCUGUCGUGCAUGCGAUGAUCCUGAAACAAAAUACAUAUUAUUGCAAGGUGAAUAUCACAAUAAAUAUAACAAUAUGAAUAUCUAAUAAUUUCAACAGGGUAACAUGCAUUCAUAUUUCAUUUACUUCUCCCUUCUAGUUUUUUUUUUUAUUAAAAUCUCUUCCUUAUUCAAACUAUUAAUAACCGUUCCCUCUGCCACUAUCAACCUUCAUUCCAAACCUUAUAAGAUCAACGUGAUUACUUUUGCAAUUUCACUGGUAUCGUCAUCACCACCCCAUAGGAGUCGAUAUAAGGCGAUCCCUUUACUCGGGAUCCUAACAUACACUAAAUGUAUGCUGGCCAAUACAUGGUGAUCCCCUUACCCGGGAUCCUAACAUACACUGAAUGUAUGUUAGCCAAUACGUGGAGAUCCCCUUACCCGGGAUCCUAACAUACACUAAAUGUAUGCUAGUCCAUUCGUGACGAUCCCCUUACCCGGGAUCAUAACAUACACUCAAUGUAUGCUAGACAAUACAUCGUGAUCCCCUUACCCGGGAUCCUAGCAUACACUCAAUGUAUGCUAGUUUAUGCCUCAAAUCACACUUCUCAUAUUUCCUUUGUCAGUGAUAAUUUCAUCACUUGGCAAUUCACAUAACAACUUUUCACCUUGAAUACACAUACAUUCAGUAAUUCACAUUUCACAUCAAAAAAUAUAUUAAAUCAUGGAAUUUAACUAGAAAGCAUAGGUGUGAAUCACCUACCUGCAAUAGAAGUUCUACUCGUGCUCCCCUGUUGCUGCUGUUGCACCACGUCUGUGGUCCCUCCUGCAAAUCACAGGUUUAUCUCAUAAAUUUUCCUCACUCAAGGAUAUGUUAUAUAAUAACCAUAUCAACAACCAAUAAGUCUUUCUUUCAGUCAUUUCUUAGUACUUUAUGUUUUUCUCAUUUCACUCAUUAUUACUGUCGUUCUUUGUCCAAUCCUAGUUAUCAUUCCUUUCUUUAUAUUUGGACUAUCACUAUCCAACUAUUACUGUCCAUUUUUGAACUGAAACUGUCUAACCUCUCCUUAGAUUUUUAACUAUAUCUGGAGUUAUAGAACUUCGAUUCAAGCAAAAUUUAUGGCGUUGGAAAGGUAAGACAUGAGGCUACAAGUUCUAUGUUUUGAGAAGAACCGAGUUCUACCUCUAAGAUAGUCAAAAUCGCUCAUUAACAAACACUUGGACUGUUACUGUCCAACUGUUACUGUCCAUUUUUGAAUUGUUACUGUCUGACCUCUCCUUAGAUUUUUAACUAUAUCUGGAGUUAUAGAACUCCGAUUCAAGCAAACUUUGUGGCGUUGGAAAGGUAAGACAUGAGGCUACAAGUUCUAUGUUUUGAGAAGAACCCAGUUCUACCUCUAAGAUAGUCAAAAUCUCUCAUUAACAAACACUUGAACUAUUACUGUCUGACCUCUCCUCAGAUUUUUAACUAUAUCUAGAGUUAUAGAACUCCGAUUCAAGCGAAAUUUAUGGUGUUGGAAAGGUAAGACAUGAGGCUACAAGUUCUAUGUUUUGAGAAGAACCCAGUUCUGCCUCUAAGAUAGUCAAAAUCGCUUAUUAACAAACACUUGGAUUGUUACUGUCCAACUGUUACUGUCCAUUUUUGAACUGUUACUGUCUGACCUCUCCUCAGAUUUUUAACUAUAUCUGGAGUUAUAGAACUCCGAUUCAAACUAAAUUUAUAGAGUUGGAAAGGUAAGACAUGAGGCUACAAGUUCUAUGUUUUGAGAAGGACCCAGUUCUGCCUCUAAGAUAGUCAAAAUCGCUCAUUAACAAACACUUAGACUGUUACUGUCCAUUUUUGAACUGUUACUGUCUGACCUCUCCUCGGAUUUUUAACUAUAUCUGGAGUUAUAGAACUCCGAUUCAAGCGAAAUUGGUGGCGUUGGAAAGGGAAGACAUGAGGCUACAAGUUCUAUGUUUUGAGAAGAACCCAGUUCUGCCUCUAAGAUAGUCAAAAUCGCUCAUUAACAAACACUUGGACUGUUACUGUUCAACUGUUACUGUCCAUUUUUGAACUGUUACUGUCUUAUUUUUGAACCGUUAUUGUCUAAACAUUGAACUGUUACUGCCUAGACAUUGAACUGUUACUGUCUUUUUUUUAAACCGUUACUGUCUAGACAUUGAACUGUUACUGUCCAACUGUUACUGUCUAAACAUCGAACUGUUACUGUCUUGUUUUUGAACUGUUACUGUCUGACCUCUCCUCAGAUUUUUAACUAUAUCUGAAGUUAUAGACUCCGAUUCAAGUGAAAUUUAUGGCGUUGGAAAGGUAAGACAUGAGGAUAUAAGUUCUAUGUUUUGAGGAGAACCCAGUUCUGCCUCUAAGACAGUCAAAAUUGUUCAUCAAUGAACCAGACCUACUACCCUAUAGGGUCUGUCAUGACCCAGUCUCGGUUGGUGACCCAUAACUGGAGUUCUAUGACUCCAAAUUGAGCAAGACCAAUUUCAUUAGUUAGUAAACAUCCAAAACUACAAUUUCUAUGAAGGAACUUGAUCCUAAUUCCUUCAUUCUCCUACCCAAAAUCUCUUUGAAGGUCAAGAGACGAAACUGUCCAGAUUCAUCAACCUUUCCAUUUACACACAACACAUGAAGUUCUUUACUUUAACAACUCUUACUUUUUCCUCAAUUCAAGUCUAAGAACUCAAUAUAUAAAUUAACAUCCAGGCUUCAAUUCAUAAUCGACUUGAAAUGACUCAUAAGACCAGGUUUAGAAUAUCUUACCUGGUGCGAAUCAAGGCUUCGAUCCCUCCUUUUCUUUCUAAUGACAGCCGACCCUCCCCUCUUCUCUUCUUGUUCAAUUUUUUUCUUGUUAAUCCCUUUCCCACCAGGGUUUAUUUUACCUAUAACCCUCAAUCUGGGAUGGGUUCUUGAAAUUUUGGUGUUUCUCUCUUGAUUUGUAAAAAUAGAUAUAAAAACUCCCUCUUUUCUUUCUUUACGUAGCUGCAGAUCUGUUUUUGGUGAGAAUAGGAGUAUUUAUGCUCUAUAAUUAUUCUUAUUUGCAUUUAGGCCCCAUUUUCUUUAAGUGUAUUCGUUCUUGCCCCCACUUCUUUUUAGUUUAGUUUAUUUUCUUUAAUUUAAUCCAGCCUUGGUUUUUCUCGGGAUUUACAAUAUAUGACGGCUUUUAGCUUUUAUUGCGAUUUUUCUUUUGUGUUUAAUUGCGUUGCUUGUGUUUUCGAUAAAAAAAUAUAAAAAAAUGUUUUUUGUGUGUUGCAUACGGCCAAUACCCUAACAUAUUUUAAACUUUUUUUUAUAUACAAAAAAUAUUGGAAGUUUUGAAAAUGUGUUUUCGCAUGGAUUUCUUAAACACAACAAAAAAAUUGUUUUCUUGCAUUUCUGGAUUUUACAACAUGUUUUUAAAACUCCAAAGGGUAUUGGCCAAUAUUCUAAAAAAUAUAAAAAUCUUAUUUUGGGGGGAAUUUAUCUAUUAUUCACCGCUAAUGUUUGGAUAAAGAAAUCCUUAAAGGACGAAUAUCCAAAAUAUUAUUGGGAAUAAUUUGUUAUUAUUCACUGUUAAUAUUUGGAUAAAGAAACCCAGAGUGGUAAAUAUCCAAAAUAAUUUUCUAGAAAUAAUAAAUCCGCACACAUCCUUGAAAGAAGCCUUGAUUAUAAUCGAGGACAUUUCAAUUUUUUUUUUACUCCACGGUUUACAAACCGUGAGAGUAUAAAACACUAAGGAAAAAAUAGGCAUUUAAAGCACCCUAGAUUUCUAAAUUUUUUGUCCCUCCUCCUUGCGAUUUACGAGUUGCAAACUCUUGAAAUACCAAGGGAAAAAUGAGUUUUUAAAGCACAUGAAAUCUCCUUGGAUUUCUGUCUUAAUAAAUUUAGUUAGAAACUUAGAAAAACUGAUGGGAUUAGAAAACACCAACACCAUAGCAAUUAUAAGACAAACUAAACACCAAGCAGCUUACCUUAGGUAGGGCGUACUAGGGGUGCUAAUACCUUCCCUUUAUGCAACCAGUCCCUUGCCUUAGAAUCUCUGAAAGACCAGUUAGGUUUCCUAGUGACCAUAAUAUUAGGUGGCGACUCCCUUAUUCACAAUAAAACAAAAGCCCCGAAAUCAAUCGAGGGUUCGCCACGACGUCGCGCUCCGCCGCGAGGGUGCGACAAUAAUAAUAGUUAUAUUAAACUCGUCUGACCCAAGUUCUUAUAGUUUUUAAUCCCUUCAAAUCCAAUUUAUGUUUUUCCUUUAAUAGUAUUAAGAUUUUUUUUUCAAAUUUAUUAAUGAUAAUAAUAAUAAUUUUUAAUUUUACCCAUCAAAUGAAAUCUAUGGUUGUUUUUCAAUAUUAAUAAUAUUUUUUCAAAUUUAUUAAUUAUUAUAUUAAUAAUAUUAAUUAUAAUAAUAAUAUUUUUAAUAAUAAUAAUAUUAAUAUUAAAUUUGUCUAACUCAAGUUUAAGUAGAUUCAGCUGCAAUGUCAGGCCCAAUGGUAUGACAGUCAUGCCUAAUCUCAGCGUCAGGUGUCUGAUAGUCAUACCAUACCCCAACGCCUAGGGCUUGAUAACCUUAUCAUGCCCUAGUAAAAUCCGAACUGAUCAUUUUAUUCUUAAUUAUUUUUUUAAUACCAAAUACAUCUAUAGAAAAGAACAAUUCUACCCUCCAUUACAUGCUUAACAAGGUGUUUUUUUUAAGUAAGAACAAGUCCAUCAUUAUAUUAUUACAGUCGAAGUAAUCUGUAUCUAGAUAACUAGUAAGAGGGUCCAAAGUGAUUAUAAUAUAUUGAAUAAUAUAAUAUAAUUUUAGGUAAUAUUUACACGAAACAGCUGAAAUAGUCCCCCCUUACUGCUACCAGGACCGAGCCACAGCAGGACUGGACCAUGCGGGUAGAAUAAAUAAGGAUCGAUUUCUUCGGCAAGCCUGUUGUCGGCAGUGAAGAACUACCAAAGUCUUUGAAUGAAUUGACAGUCCUAGGCAUGUCCAAGAAACAAACUUACCAGGACGUAUUUAUUGAAAGAAAAGAAAACGUGGACGGUGGACGGUGGACGGUGGACGAUGGACGAUGGACGACGUGGUUUUGUCCCACAGGUUAAAAAAAGGAUUGUGAUGAAAUCGUUUCAGCCUAGCUUAAGUUUAAUUUCCCAUUCUUCUGCUUGCCGUGCAUCUUUUAUUCCCCGAGCUAAACUCAACAGAACACUCAUUACCCAAAAAAAAUAAACAUACCCUUCCCCUGUCCCUUUCACUCGAAGGGUUAGUUCGAGUUUCUUCACAGAUUGUUGAAAAUAUGAAGGAUAAUUGUUUUGUGACGACUGAUUGCGUCAUCAUUAAAAUAGGUAGUUUUAAAUUGUGUUAAUGGUUUUUUUAAAGUAUUUUUUAUUUGAAAAUAUAUUAAAAUUAUCUAUUUUUUUAAAUUUAUUUUUAAUAUCAACAUAUUAAAACCAUUUAAAAAACAUAAAAUAAAUUUAAUUCAAAAUAAAAAAAUUAAUUUUUUAAAAAAGCACGGAAACCUGCAAUAGUUAACACUCCUAUAAUCUCGUGGACAUAUUGAGUGCUUUUUUUUUGGGCUAUUAACUCGGUCGAGUUUGAACCGGAUAACCUGAAUUAUUAAAAACCUAUCAUAGCUAAAUGAGUUUUAGCUGGUCAAAAUUGGUAAAUUCAACUAGCAACCUGAACCGAUUCAAGCUUUGAAUUUUGAAUUUUGAAUUUCCUACAUUAAUCUAUCCGGUUGGCAAAGUUUUAUAACUAUGGUAAAAAAUAAAUAAAAAAUGCAGUAAAAGGUACACCACUCGUAUAUAAAUGACACCGAAGGUUUGGACUUUGAUCACUGAAUUGAGGUGUUGCCAAUUGAACUUCAUUGGUACUGGUAGAAUAUGGCAGAUGAGAAGAAACAAAACCUGGAAAACAAAUCUGUGUUGUCUCAACCUCUACCCGAGAGGAAGAAAAACAACUUACCAAACUUCUUUUUAUCUGUUCAGCUCAAAUAUGUGAAACUUGGUUACCACUACUUGGUUUCCAAUGCCACGUACCUCAUGCUCAUGCCAGUACUUUGCGUGAUUUUUGCUCAUCUUUCAACAUUCACAGUUGAUGAGCUUUGGAAGCAACUCAAAUUCAAUUUUGUGACAGUAGUUCUUUCCUCAACCUCAAUUGUUUUUACUGCUACACUCUACUUCAUGAGCCGUCCAAGACAAGUUUACUUGGUGGAUUUUUCAUGUUACAAGCCCGGACCAGCUCAUAUAGCAUCUAGAGAACUCUUCAUGCAGUUAUCUGCAGCGUCCGAGAUUUUCACA
RNAcentral lists this long non-coding RNA (49579 nucleotides) under Populus trichocarpa (black cottonwood). Its description in RNAcentral is "long non-coding RNA (PTRI_LNC002486)". Lineage: Eukaryota; Viridiplantae; Streptophyta; Magnoliopsida; Malpighiales; Salicaceae. The record is from RNAcentral.